CUAGCAAAGAAGCUCUUUUGAUUAAUUGCAGUAUUUGCCUGAUUCAAGAUCAUAAUUGAGAAGCAAUUUCUUGGUUAUGGACGAUUGAUAUAUAUCUUUACAUGGUAGUAUCGUGAUGAGGAUACUCUCCUUUUGGUAACUUCAAUGCAAAAACAAGACUACAAAAGCAGAAUGUUUGACAGGGUACUUUUAGAUAAAACUUGACAUUUAUAGAUUGUUUCGGCCAUGCUUUCCCUGAUAUUUAUUUGAUGCAUUUGUUUCAUGUUUGGAUUAGUCUUUUCGUCUUUUGGGAGGUCUUUUCUUUCUUUUUUCUUUUACUAAGUAUUGACUUCUUAUGAGUUCUGGUAUCAUAAAUGAGACCAUCCAUUUGUGAUGAUUUAGCUAUCUUGGUUCCUGUAUUUGUUUAAGUUAGGUUAAGUGUAUCCCUUAGGUAUUAUUGGUUGUGCAAUUUAGUCCCCCAUCUAUUUUUGUUUUUGCUGAAUAUAGUCCUCUUUCACUUUUUUGUGCAAUCGAGUCAUUUGUGGUCAAUCACUGGUUGACACCACCAAUUUGUUGAUGUGGCGUCUGUAUUUAGUUAUGAUACACGAGCAACCAUGCAAUAUAACCUGUAAACGUACAUUAUGUGUGUUGUAUAGACUUUUCAUAAUAGUUGAUAGUUUCUUUUUAUAUAUGGCAGGGUUGGUAGAUGCAUUUGAAUGGUUAGAGUUGUAUUGGUUCGCAUAUAAAUGAUGGGAGUAAAGGAAGUGUUAUUUCACAUAUAAAAAGGGCAUUAAUUUUGAUAAAUAUAUUUUAAUAUAUGCAUGAAGAGAGGCCUUCUAUUGUAAUUGCAAAUGGACCCAAAUUUUGGAAAUUCAUAAGGUCCAAAUUGCGAAAGGUAUAGUUGGAUAAGGAAAAAGUUUGGAAACAACCACUUGAGCUUCUCAUCUUUACAUAGAUUAGAUAAAUAAUAUACAACUACAACCUUUCAUUUCACAAAAAUCAAAGGGAGAAGCCUACGCCAUAGUAGUAUGACAGCAAAUUGAAAUUGGUGCAUUUUAUUUUAUAUCGGUUGGUCUCAUCUCAUCAUUCAAAACUUAUAAUCCACAAUGUUUCCAAAUUGCAGGGUACUAGAAAGAUUGAGGCCCUUCUUCUCGACAGACGGGGUUAUGGAAAAAGAUAUGCGGCUGAACAAUUUAAAGAAUUGACCAACUUGAGGUUCCUUCAAGCGGAUGGUGUGAAUUUCACCGGAGAUUUCCAAAGCUUACUUCCUAAAUUAAGAUGGCUUCAAUGGGAGGGCUGUCCAUCAAAUUUCACUGCGAACAACUUUCAUCCGAAAAAACUAGUUGUACUCGAUCUAUCAUACAGUGACAUUUCAGAGGACUGGGGAGGAUGGGAUCCACUCAAGGUAAGAUGUAAAGAAGACAUUGAAGUAUCUUUUAACAUAACAUUUUUUUUCCUUGUACAUUUGAAAAUUGAUUUUAAUAAUUAAACUAGCUAUUUCUCUUUAAUUUCAUACUACUGAAGGACAACAUGGUGCCCAAUGAUUGCAUCUCUCUUUCAUUUGGACUUGUCGUAUGCUUUUUUGAUAUUAUAAGUUGCUAAUGUCUAAUAAGCAAAUAUCUCCUUUGAAAUGUUAUUCGGAAAUAAAUGCGGUUAGCACUUGUACACCCUAACAUUCUUUUGCAAUCGAUGUGCUUAGAAAACAUUCAUCUAUUGACGUGGCCAAAUAUUACUGAAAGAGGCAUUUAAAAUUAAGUAGGACAACCACGAAGGAGUAGAGGAGCACGGGGAAUUUCUGAGGAAUUCUAAAAAGUGAAAUACAUAAGGAGUAGCGAAAAAUCACAGGGGUUGUGACAGUCCACUUACACUGACGUGCCCUUUCUUUCUUCCAGAUGGCGACUAAGCUCAAAGUUCUCAACCUGAAGGAUUGUCAAUCUUUGAAAAGAACGCCCGACUUGUCCACUUUCAAAAGAUUGGAGAUUUUGACUCUUGUAAAUUGUGAGAAUCUGGAAGAGCUUCAUCCUUCUAUUGGAAAUUUGGCAUCAUUGAUCGAGCUGGACGUAGGAUACUCAUCGAUUACGAAAUUACCUGAAAGCAUUGGGAAUCUGCAAAAUUUGAGGAACUUGAAUAUUUCUUAUACUCACAUAACAGAAUUGCCUCAUGCCAUUGGGAUGUUGACAAAACUCCAAAAGUUAUGGGUUUGGGCCUGCGGAAAUCUAGAGCGACUACCUAAUAAUAUAUGCGAACUGAUUUCGCUAGAGCUGCUCAAACUUGAUUGGUGUGAAAAGCUUGGGGAAUUACCAGAACUGCCCUCCGGCAUAAAAAAUCUAUAUAUCACCUGCCAGGGGCAGUCUUUGCCCCAGCUUUCUCAGCUAACCCGUCUCGAGAAAUUCCAUGUUGAUGGUUGCCAUCGGCUUGAAUGUGUCCCGGAGCUUCCCAUUGGACUAUCGGAGCUUCGUAUUUUGAAUUGUGAAAAAUUGAAAGCCUUAACGAAUUUGUCAGAUUUGAAACACUUGCGAUGUUUCGAUAUAUUAAAUUGCCCAUCUCUCGAAGAAUCGCCCGACUUGUCGAAUUUUAUACGUACGCAGAUGAGAGAACUUAGCUGAAAGGGAGGCAGUACCCUAGUGGGUUAAUAAGAUUCGAGUGUGAGCAGGCGUGAAGAGCUAAGGGGGGCAGAAGAGAAGGACGGCUGGACAUCCAUGGAAUCUCUCUCUCUCUCUCUCUCUCUCUCUCUCUCUCUCUCUCUCUCUCUCUCUCUCUCUCUCUCUCUCUCUCUCUCUCUCUCUCUCUCUCUCUCUCUCGCUACUAGUCAGUCGCCCAACUGGUUUCCCAGGCUCGAAGAUCGAAGCCACCGUUCCCACUGCGCAUCCACCGCAGGCAGGCGGGCAGGUCGGUCGGCGCGGCGGAGAUGACGACAGCGACGGCGACGAGGCGACGCCACGGCUGGCAACGCCCUCUCCAUCCGCUCCAGGUAAACGCACGCACACGUCUCUCGAGCUUUCCUGCGGUCUCUCAGCGUCACUCCGGUGCGCGAGCUCAUCGAUUGUUGGGAUUGGAGAUUUUAGUUUGCUCAGUAGUAGCUAGCGUGGUAGUUUCGGCAGCAAUCGGGUAGGCGGUUGGAGCUGGAAGUCGCGCUGGCUGCCAAUGUUCUGUCGAGAUUUGGUGAGAUCCGUUGAGUUGCUAGAAUGAUCAAGGUCACUGAAAGCCAGAUCGAUUACAUGUNNNNNNNNNNNNNNNNNNNNNNNNNNNNNNNNNNNNNNNNNNNNNNNNNNNNNNNNNNNNNNNNNNNNNNNNNNNNNNNNNNNNNNNNNNNNNNNNNNNNNNNNNNNNNNNNNNNNNNNNNNNNNNNNNNNNNNNNNNNNNNNNNNNNNNNNNNNNNNNNNNNNNNNNNNNNNNNNNNNNNNNNNNNNNNNNNNNNNNNNNNNNNNNNNNNNNNNNNNNNNNNNNNNNNNNNNNNNNNNNNNNNNNNNNNNNNNNNNNNNNNNNNNNNNNNNNNNNNNNNNNNNNNNNNNNNNNNNNNNNNNNNNNNNNNNNNNNNNNNNNNNNNNNNNNNNNNNNNNNNNNNNNNNNNNNNNNNNNNNNNNNNNNNNNNNNNNNNNNNNNNNNNNNNNNNNNNNNNNNNNNNNNNNNNNNNNNNNNNNNNNNNNNNNNNNNNNNNNNNNNNNNNNNNNNNNNNNNNNNNNNNNNNNNNNNNNNNNNNNNNNNNNNNNNNNNNNNNNNNNNNNNNNNNNNNNNNNNNNNNNNNNNNNNNNNNNNNNNNNNNNNNNNNNNNNNNNNNNNNNNNNNNNNNNNNNNNNNNNNNNNNNNNNNNNNNNNNNNNNNNNNNNNNNNNNNNNNNNNNNNNNNNNNNNNNNNNNNNNNNNNNNNNNNNNNNNNNNNNNNNNNNNNNNNNNNNNNNNNNNNNNNNNNNNNNNNNNNNNNNNNNNNNNNNNNNNNNNNNNNNNNNNNNNNNNNNNNNNNNNNNNNNNNNNNNNNNNNNNNNNNNNNNNNNNNNNNNNNNNNNNNNNNNNNNNNNNNNNNNNNNNNNNNNNNNNNNNNNNNNNNNNNNNNNNNNNNNNNNNNNNNNNNNNNNNNNNNNNNNNNNNNNNNNNNNNNNNNNNNNNNNNNNNNNNNNNNNNNNNNNNNNNNNNNNNNNNNNNNNNNNNNNNNNNNNNNNNNNNNNNNNNNNNNNNNNNNNNNNNNNNNNNNNNNNNNNNNNNNNNNNNNNNNNNNNNNNNNNNNNNNNNNNNNNNNNNNNNNNNNNNNNNNNNNNNNNNNNNNNNNNNNNNNNNNNNNNNNNNNNNNNNNNNNNNNNNNNNNNNNNNNNNNNNNNNNNNNNNNNNNNNNNNNNNNNNNNNNNNNNNNNNNNNNNNNNNNNNNNNNNNNNNNNNNNNNNNNNNNNNNNNNNNNNNNNNNNNNNNNNNNNNNNNNNNNNNNNNNNNNNNNNNNNNNNNNNNNNNNNNNNNNNNNNNNNNNNNNNNNNNNNNNNNNNNNNNNNNNNNNNNNNNNNNNNNNNNNNNNNNNNNNNNNNNNNNNNNNNNNNNNNNNNNNNNNNNNNNNNNNNNNNNNNNNNNNNNNNNNNNNNNNNNNNNNNNNNNNNNNNNNNNNNNNNNNNNNNNNNNNNNNNNNNNNNNNNNNNNNNNNNNNNNNNNNNNNNNNNNNNNNNNNNNNNNNNNNNNNNNNNNNNNNNNNNNNNNNNNNNNNNNNNNNNNNNNNNNNNNNNNNNNNNNNNNNNNNNNNNNNNNNNNNNNNNNNNNNNNNNNNNNNNNNNNNNNNNNNNNNNNNNNNNNNNNNNNNNNNNNNNNNNNNNNNNNNNNNNNNNNNNNNNNNNNNNNNNNNNNNNNNNNNNNNNNNNNNNNNNNNNNNNNNNNNNNNNNNNNNNNNNNNNNNNNNNNNNNNNNNNNNNNNNNNNNNNNNNNNNNNNNNNNNNNNNNNNNNNNNNNNNNNNNNNNNNNNNNNNNNNNNNNNNNNNNNNNNNNNNNNNNNNNNNNNNNNNNNNNNNNNNNNNNNNNNNNNNNNNNNNNNNNNNNNNNNNNNNNNNNNNNNNNNNNNNNNNNNNNNNNNNNNNNNNNNNNNNNNNNNNNNNNNNNNNNNNNNNNNNNNNNNNNNNNNNNNNNNNNNNNNNNNNNNNNNNNNNNNNNNNNNNNNNNNNNNNNNNNNNNNNNNNNNNNNNNNNNNNNNNNNNNNNNNNNNNNNNNNNNNNNNNNNNNNNNNNNNNNNNNNNNNNNNNNNNNNNNNNNNNNNNNNNNNNNNNNNNNNNNNNNNNNNNNNNNNNNNNNNNNNNNNNNNNNNNNNNNNNNNNNNNNNNNNNNNNNNNNNNNNNNNNNNNNNNNNNNNNNNNNNNNNNNNNNNNNNNNNNNNNNNNNNNNNNNNNNNNNNNNNNNNNNNNNNNNNNNNNNNNNNNNNNNNNNNNNNNNNNNNNNNNNNNNNNNNNNNNNNNNNNNNNNNNNNNNNNNNNNNNNNNNNNNNNNNNNNNNNNNNNNNNNNNNNNNNNNNNNNNNNNNNNNNNNNNNNNNNNNNNNNNNNNNNNNNNNNNNNNNNNNNNNNNNNNNNNNNNNNNNNNNNNNNNNNNNNNNNNNNNNNNNNNNNNNNNNNNNNNNNNNNNNNNNNNNNNNNNNNNNNNNNNNNNNNNNNNNNNNNNNNNNNNNNNNNNNNNNNNNNNNNNNNNNNNNNNNNNNNNNNNNNNNNNNNNNNNNNNNNNNNNNNNNNNNNNNNNNNNNNNNNNNNNNNNNNNNNNNNNNNNNNNNNNNCCUUAUAAUGGUGGAGUUGGAAGUGAGAUCUACCUUCAUGAGAGCUUGGAUUGGGGUAAAGGAAAGGUCUGCAGUGUGUCCAUAGAUAGCAAUGCAGCACAAUACCAACACCUUUGUACUGCAGCCAUCAUAUUUGGUUGGGGAUGGAAUUCUUUUUUACAUGUUAGCACAUACCUCUUUACCUUUUUCUAAUUUUUUCAUCCUCCUAUCUUCUUCUUUUCAUUGCCAUUAUCUGGUUUUGCGUUUGUUUUAUUCUCUUCUUUACUCAUGCCCCAGAUGCUUCUCUAGUUGACUUUCUCUAAUAGGCAUGAGAGUUUCUUCAGUGAUGUGCUUCCGCUGUGGUGAUGCUCUUGCUUUUAUCUUCUACUUUUGAACUUCAUUCCCUUUUUUCAAAGAUAACACACAGGUGUUAGUGGAGAAGAAAAGAUAGAGAAUCUAUCACUUUAGACCUUAAUUUUCUGUUGUCUUAUGAUCAUUGAUCCAAAGUCCAAUUUCAAUCAUUUUCAGAUUGAUCUUAACAACCUUUACCUUAAGGGUUAGAUUUUAUACUGCAGGGAUUGUCUCCCAUGUGUGUACAAUCGUGUAGCUGUGACAUGCCAUCUAUGUAUAACUAUCUAAAAAAGGAAUGUGCUUGGCAUAUCAACUUGGGAAUGCAAGAUCUCAGGCUUGGUGCUUGUGCUCUAGAAUCUAAUAUUGUGGAAUCCUCUUGGGUUUCUCACCUUCUGUUUCUGGAUGCUCUCCCAUGAUUGCCCCAAAUUUUUACUUUUUGUUCCCCUAUUUAUUUAUGAAUUGCAUUACUUCUUUUUCAUGUCUAGUUCAGGAUACAUUUCAUGACGUAUCCUUUAUGGGGAUCUUAUACUGUUUUCCAGUUUUCAAUUGGUGGGGAUCCUCUUUAUAGAGAUACCUGUAUUUGUAUUGUACCUUGCUAUUGUCCCUUUUGGUUCCUUUUUUGACAAUAUUAUCAUUCUAGAGUGACAAAUUUUCCAUGUUGUCAAUCAAAUAGCUCAAAUCAAAGUUUUAGUGGUGAUCUAGACGUAAUCAAGUCAUUGACUUGAUUGAAUAGUGACCUAUGUGUCGCAUCUUUCUUAUGACAGGCUGCGACAGCAAUGGUGCAACAAGCUAUGCAAUAUGUUGACCAGACACUUGAUCUUGAGACCAAGAUAGAGCUUAUUAAUACACAUAACUCUGUUGUCACUGGGAAGAUGAAUAUGUGAAGUCAAACUCUGGUGGAGCUUAUGUUCAUCAGCAAUCUGCUUUUAUUUCUUGAUUUCUGUAGCUAGUUUCGUAAUGCAGUUAUAUUUUGAAAUUGAGAGAGCAUGAUUGUUCAAGAAACUUGCAAAAAUAAAGGAAGAACAGGGUCUUCUAGAAGUACCAAUUUGAUGCAAGAAAUGGGGGUAACUAGAAGUUAACUUCUGUUCUCACUGAUCUUGUAAUUGGUUUUCCCUUGUCCUACAUUCCUAUGACAGUUUGAAAUGCAGGUAGGAACUUUUGGACCAAAGGCAAAGACGGAGAAAAUUGCCUUUAUUUUUGAACAAGUGCGGGAUUUUUGUAUUGCUUUUAGCCAUUCCUGCAUUAUUACUAUGAUUGGUUUUUCUGAUCGAUGGAUUUUGCAGGUUUAUCUGUGCAAGGGUUAUGUCUGUGCACGUAUCAUUUCUAGGAAGAUCAACUCCCGAGUGUUUGAUGCAAAUCCUUCCAUAGUAAAGAAAAAGUCUAAAGAAGGUGAAAACAUCGUGGAACGAGCGUCAGCUGAUAUUCCAUCUCUUCUGGAGUUGAAACAGAUAUGCAAUGACUCAUGAUAUGGUAAAUUGGUGUUUUGCUUUUCGAAUGUUGUGUCCACUAUCUUUGACUAAUUUGUUUUUGCUGAUCAAGUGCCACCUGGUAUUCAGGUUGUGGUUCACCAUGUACUUGUAUGGCUUUAUAUAUCUGGCACAUACUCUUCUUUCUUUCUAGCUGUAUCACAAACUAUGACGUUCUAGAUUUACUUGAUGGAUUUAAACUCCCAUCUCAGUUUACCUCACAUUUAUGUAGAUAACAAUGUAGGUAUUACUCACAUAACAAUGAUUGCCUUGAGAUUUGUCGAUACCAUAAGGGGAUAUAUGAGAUUCCAUCAGUAAAAGGCAACCCAGAGCAGUGGAUAUGGGUGAAGCUCUUUCCUUGUUAAGUCUUCACUGAGUUUUUUAAGCCAAAGCUGUUCAUACUGUGAUUUAAUUAAAUGCAGGUUUAAGGAAAAUCUGCUGGUACUUAGUUUUAUCACCACAUGAUCCUAUGCAAUCAAGCCUUCUUAAUGCAACUCUAGAAGAUAAACAUCUCUCAGGAAUUCCCCAAUUCAGGUACCAUCUUUAAAUUGUGCUAGGUAAUUGAUUGUUGAUCUUGCAAUAUCUCAAUAAUGUGCCAUAGGAUUUGGUCAACCAUACCUUUGAUAUUUUAAUGUAGGUUGCUGCUGAAACAAUUGGUCACGUUGGAGGCUCACAGACUCCUCUUUAAAAGAACUUUCAAAUGUGAAUUUGAGAAUGAGAAAACGUGCUAGCAGGUGUACUUGUUGGGAAUUAGAUAAGGCCCAAUCAUAGUCAAAAGAAGAAUUUUGGCUUCUCCUUGGCAAGACAAGCUACCUUUCUAGGAGCCUCUUCAGAGAAUCAUUGAACAUGUAAUUACAGAACUUGUUGUUUUUCUUCUUUUCAUUGGAUCAUCACUCAGAUGUGACUCAGUCCGUUUUCUGCAAAAUAUUAUCAUCGUUUUGAAGUAUUGCUCAAGGAUUACCUUAAAGAGACUUGCAAACUUGUUAUCCUCAGUAUCCAGGUCUGAUUAUGUGGAACAUUUGUUGAUGUUCUUUAUCAGUGUCACUCUUUAUGAAUGAUUGCCUAGACCCCUCAUUUAACCCUAAGCAGCUUCUCUGCUUGUGAUCCCUAAUUGGGGCAUGGCUACUGGACUUGGAUAAAAGAGGUUUUGGUGCAUUGAAAGCCAAAGAUUUGUCAUGGAUUUGAGGAUGCUGUCUUCAUUGUUUUGUUUUGUAAACAUUCUGACCGACAUAUAUGUGAUCUUUUUUUUUGGCUUAGUCGGCUUCUGCUCAUAAAUUUGUUGUAGCUAUAAGCGUCAUUGUCUGGCAUUGUGAAACCAUUUCUUGUCCCAUUGAACCUGAAUCUUUAAUGCACUUUAGAAGCGUGGAAGGAGCUCUGCUAUAUUGCUAGAAAUAGCUGAAUCACUUGAAGAAGAUCUUUGUGUUUGGGUUCUCUUACUCUAUUGUUAAGAGCUUUAAUCAAUCACAUUAAAUUAACACCUAUCAUUUGACACAUAGACCAUAUAAUGAUAAUUAUACACGCCGGUAUGAUAUUCUAUUGUCUUCACCUCUUAUUUCUAUAUUACCUUUUUAGGAAGCUGAGAAGCAUCUCUCCUUAGCAGUUGUUGCCAAGUACCUGGUGGCAAUGGCAAAGAUAGACCAGCCAAUGAGAAUUGUCAGUUUCGAAACAGCACAGCAGCUAGAUUUUGAACUUGGGCGACAAAUUUGGAAAAGCUGCUUGACCUUGUUGAGAAAAGUUGCCACAAAAUCUCCAAGGAAACCACAGUUUAUGAGGCUGCUUUGAGAGCUUGAAUUGGUUGAAUGAAUGAUCUCUCUUGUCUCGAGGCUUCCUACAUCCUUUCCCCACUCUCCCUCACCGAAAAAUGCUGUUUCACAUUGUGGUGGGGACUGGAGAUAUUCAUCAUAGAACUUUCGCCGUAGCUGUCUCAAAUUUGAUUGCAUAUUUUGUGGGGGGACCAGAUCCCAGCCUUGUUUCGGACUGAAAUGAUGUACUGAAUACACUUUCUCUAUAGAAAUGGAGUUUGGUCUUUUCAUCUUUCCUAUUUCCUCUUUUCUCCCUCCUUUUAAUUGAAGAUUUGCGGGCUUUCAGGGUCCAGAAAAUGUACCAAUGGAACAGGUAUCAGCACAAGAUGUGCGCUCAUUUGGACUGAAAUAGCGCCACGUUACAGAAUUGUGUUUCGCAUUACAAAUAUUGUUGUUGCUUGUAUUUUUUCUAACACCGGGGAUAACUCUGCAGAUUAAAGGCUUAAUUAAUGCUACUUUUUCAUUUCAUUUCAUAUUCAAAAUGAGCACCUGUUUCUAGGGGGCUUCAUUUCAAUAAUAUAUCUGCACUUUUUAUUUCCUCAAGGGACGUUAUUUUUCUGCAAGUUGAUACCUGUUAGGGAUGGACCUUGUUCCCUAAAAUUCCAGCUCCUUCAUUUGCUUCGUGGAAACUGAAAAAUUGGGAAAAGCUACGGCUACAUCUUUUGGCUGUGGAAAUAGUUAUGCCCACUAGUAAAUGGCACCAAUUUGUUGGUGAAAAGCACCAUUCUACUUUAUUCACAUAGUAAAUGUGCAAAAACACAGGCAAAGGAGAGAGAUCAACACAGCUGGAUUUAUGGCGCUCUCAACCCCCAAAAUUCGCCAGGUUCUUUCAAGCUCCUAGGGUAUAAGUUCGUAGUUUCGAUGUCCCUUCAAGUUCUCGAUGAACUGUUUAUGUGUUGAGUUCGAUCCUAAGAAGAUUCACUUCGUUUCUCCAAUCACUACGCAUUUGACUCUUCAGCUCAUUAGUCAUUCCAAUGCCGGGAUUUUUUCAUUACUGCGAUGAAGAUUUUGUUUUGGCAAGUGAUGUUCUAAAUUGACAUUCCAGUAUGCAAAUUUUUGUUUGCUGUUGCUUUCUUUUUCCUUUUUUUUUUUCCUUUGAUAAUCUUGGUCUUCAUGAUAUCAGAACUGCGAAAAGAGCCGAGUUUCAAAAUUUCAAAGGAGAACCAUAUAUAUGUUUCCAAAAAACACAUGAACUAUAUUACAAGUUUGAGCAAGGUUAUCUGUAUGUAUCAUAUUGCUGGAAUGGUGAGAAGAAGCCUUUUAACGAGUUCAUUCACUUUAUGAUGAGUAGCAACAUCUCACAGUCUAUCUAUAGUCCACCGGUAUCUAGUAGAAAUAAUGACCCUCAUGUAUUAUGCACUUACACAACAAGCUUACGGCAAUGCACAUGAACAGGUCUAGCAGUGUGACACCGAGAAAUGAAGCAUCACUUGCAGGUGGUGGUGGAGAUGUGGUGUUGCCGAUGGUUGUGUCUAGUAGUGACAGAGAUCUCGCUAGACUAGAGGUUGGGCCGAUGGAAGUUUCAUUGAUGGUGACAACCAAUUUUUGGCCGCGAGAGCAAUGGUUGCCAUGACGAAAGGUGUAAAUUCAAGCAAUACUCGCCAACUGCAGCGACAGAAAAGGCCGCCUGUCCGUUGCUUAAGGUGGUGAAUGGAGAAGCGGUGUUGCAGUUAUCGCUGUCAUCCUUUGACACGUAUGUGACAUUGCAGUUGUUGUUGUUGUCGGAACCUGUAUUGAACACUGUCAAAAUAUGAAGGAAAAGGCAAAGCGAGAAGAAGAAGGAUAGGGAUUUCAAUGUAUUUCUAUGACUUUUAUUCAAUGUACAGAGUUACAAUAUAUAUUACAGAGUAUGUGUAAAAGAAAAGGAAAUGAUACAAUGUACAGAUUAGAUCUGAUUUUAAUUGAUUCAAUAAAAUCCCUAUGAUUUGAUCUAAUCGAAUCUUUCCAAACUUUCUGCGUAUCUUCCAACAAACACUACAAAAAUGAAGGAAGAUCAUCCGGCAUUGAAGAGUGAAGCUCAAGAUUGAUUGCAGUUACAAGUAAUCAAGAACGGACUAGUCAAAGCAAAGUCCUUAAACACUAUGAUAAGCGGGUAUCUGAUUCCUACUCGAAGAACGCCAAAAUCAGAAGGCGCGUUGGGUCACCCACUCAAAGGACAUGGUGGUGUUGGAAUGGAUCCUUCUUCCUCUGAUUAUUUGCACUUAGCUAUUUUGGCUGGGCUUGUGUUAUAAUUUCAGGUCGAGGUUGCCCCUCAAAUGUCCAUUCUUUGUCGAGGGGGUGGUUUUCGAGCGCAAACAUAGGUGGGAAGCAAAUGUUGUGAACAACACACAUGGACUGUAUAGUGAGUCAUUAGCUUUGUUGCCUCAACUGAGUGUAAUACUUUCUUGAGUGGUUGAUGAUGACUGAGAUUGCGAUCGAAAACGAAGGAAGCCUGUGCUUGUUGUUCAUUCCCUUUUAAAAUGAUGCAUUGACAACUGUCUUUUGAGGGGAGUGAAAUUACUCAGACUCUAGGAUGUUGCCCAAACAGAUUGUGGGAUGGGAGUGGGAAUGAACGCAACGCCACAAUGCUCAAACCAAUUAUGUUGGAAGAUAUGAUUUAACAAAUCAUAUCAAAUUGUAAAUUGAUAUGUAAUAUUGUCUAUCUUAGGUUUAGAAAGAUAGGGGAUAAUUAUUUUCCUUUAUUAUUUCUUUCUUUGUAAUUAAAUACAAUGUAUUGUGCACAGAUUACAUUCAAUAGAGAGAAUACAACUUUUCUCCUAUUUCUUCUUUCGCAUACUUUCCUUUGAUCUUCUAACAUGGUAUCAGAGCUUCUGACGAUUCUGGCAUAGCUUUUGCUUCCAUCUUGAUUGCCUUGAGGAACUGUAACCUGCAAAACAGUUACCGAAAGGAAUCAACUCCUUUCAAUUUUUUCUUUGCUACAAUGAACAAAUCAGAAGCCCUCACCUCCAAAUCAGAUGACCAGCCAGCAAGAGAUGCAACGCCACAGACUACCCACAAUCCAGAUUCAACUGUCGUGACAACUAUGGCUGAACAACAACUCAGUCAAGGCUAGAACCAGCCUCAACACGUGCAAUGGCAAACUUUUCCGGCUCAGUUCAAUCUGGGGCAGCCCUUCUUGGGCCAUCCUUACCAGUGGAUGCCGUAUCCAUGGAUCCAUGGGACAAACCCAUAUACAUCACAGACGAGCUACCAAAGCAGCAUGUGGACCGACGGAGGCCCACCAACCAACAAUGGGGCAGGCUCUACCUUCUGCCCAGAGCAAACGGGCGGAUCAGGUGAAUCGGGGGGAACGAAUCCUUACCCAAAUUUUUUCAAAGCGAAUCGAGGAAACGGGUCAAAUACUCCGAAUGUAGGGGCGAAUACCUACCCGACUUCACCUGGUUUCUUUCCAUAUCCGAUCCUUGCUGCCGGAGGACGGUCGGAGCCCGGCGACCCUCUUUACACGACGAACGUCGACAGACCAGAACUGAAACUCAUCAGUCAUCAAUUAACUGGUCUAGACGAUUACGCGACUUGGUCAUGGGAGCUCCGGUGUGCCAUGGUAACAAAGGAUAAAGAGGGUUUUCUCGACGAAACAAUUUCGGUUCUGACCGACGAGCGAAUGGCUCAAUUUUGGAAAAAAUGUAACCAACUCGUCAGAACUUGGAUCGAGAAUUGUAUCACAGCCGAAGUGGCAGCAGAGCUUCCCCCGAUAGAAGAUACGAAAGAGAUGUGGGAUAACAUUAAGGAAAUGUAUGGAAAGCUAGAUCAAAUCAAGAUCUUUUCCAUUACACAGCAAAUUUCGGAUCUAAACANNNNNNNNNNNNNNNNNNNNNNNNNNNNNNNNNNNNNNNNNNNNNNNNNNNNNNNNNNNNNNNNNNNNNNNNNNNNNNNNNNNNNNNNNNNNNNNNNNNNAAUGAGAUGGAAUCAGCUGAAGAAAAAUUCAACUGGCCCGAACCCAUUCUACAACAGUACAAGAUCAUGCGCGAAAGAGAGAAGGCGAUUAGGUUUCUCCUAAUCUUAAAUGAGACACACCUUUCAUUUCGAUCUCAGAUCCUGACCAUGGAUCCGAUCCCAAACCUUGGCCGGAUCUAUCAGCUUGCCGUCUAAGAGGAGAGCCAACAGAAGACGGCGAUCUACGGAAAGGGGAGCGAGGUGAUGGCUCUGGCUGCAAGAGGCCAUUUUCGCUCUCCACAAAGGAACCUAGGAGUUGGAGGACGAAAGGGGGUGAAUGUGGGGUUGAGAAACCCUAGCCCUAAUUUCAUUGAGCAAAUGGACGACUCCAAUUUUGUUGAACAAUCGGACGGCUCCCAUAUUUUUUCGACAGGGCCCUUCUCAGACGGCCCACGGAGCGGCUUCGCUGGAGCAGAUGGGCCGCGUGGAAUCAAUGGGCAGCGAGCAAAUGUUUAUGGACUAGAUAGUGCACGCGGAUUUCAGCCCACUGGAUUAGAAGGGUCAUAUGGGCCUACUUCGGCCCAAGCUUUUCAGCCCGGCAACAGAUUUCAUUCAACUGCAAAAAACAAUGGUCAAAAAGGAAGAGGUAAAUUAUAUUGUGACUAUUGUAAACAUCUGCACCAUACAAUUGACAAUUGUUGGAAAUUACAUGGGAAACCUGGAGAAAAAGAAAAAGGGAAAUCUUCACAAGUUUUUCAGGUGUCGGGUUAGCCAACAGAAAGAUCGAUUAUCUAUGAGCAGUGUCAGGAAUUGAUGGGAGCUUUAAAAAGGUUGGAUGCCUCUGAUAAAGCUGGGAGUUUCACAGGUACAUCUUAUUGCUUGAUGAAUUCAAUUUCAAAGAAUGCAUGGAUUAUAGAUUCAGGUGCUAGUGAUCACAUUGUCUAUGAUAAGGGCUUCCUUUCCAAAAUCAAAAUAUUAUCUUUUCCUAUAUCGGUGCAACUUCCAAAUGGAAAUUCCACACAAGUUGCCAUGAUCGGCACUAUGAAUCUUAGUCCCCUAAUUACACUUCGAAAUGUGCUAUAUGUGCCUGACUUCCAAUUCAACCUCAUAUCAGUUAAUCGAGCUUCUAAAGAAAAGUCAUGCCAUGUCCUGUUCACUCUCGAUAAUUGUCUCUUUCAGGCCUUUUCGACUGGCAAACUGAUGGGCUUGGGUAAAGCUUAUCAAGGACUCUAUUUUUGGAUGGAUUUUCCCAGCAGUUCCAAAUUGUCCUCUAUUGAAUUCAAUAAAUCAUUGUGUAACCAUGUUAUCAAUGACAAAAAUUUUCUUUAUCAUAAAAGAUUGGGACAUAGUGCUAAAUUUCCUUGUCCUUAGUGUCCUAUAUGUCCUUUGGCAAAACAGACACGUGCUCCUUUCCCAAAUAGUAGUUCUAGAGUAGAUGGCAUUUUUUCAUUAAUCCAUGCUGAUGUUUGGGGACCCUACCAUACCGUGCAUCGCGAUGGAUCGCGAUAUUUCCUCACAAUUGUUGAUGAUUUUUCUCGUGCAACAUGGAUAUUUCUCAUGUAAUCCAAGAAUCAAGUCAUUUCCCAUCUAAGGACAUUUUUUUCCUUAUCCAAAAAUCAGUUUGGAAAAACAAUCCGUCGCAUUAGAACUGAUAAUGGAAGAGAGUUCUUCAAUGGUGAAUGUGCUUCUUUAUUUUCACUUAAUGGAAUCUUGCAUGAGAGUUCUUGCACUUAUACACCACCGUAAAAUGGUGUUGUUGAGAGGAAACAUCGUCACCUCUUAGAAGUAGCACGUGCUCUUAAGUUUCAAGCAUCUAUUCCUGAGAAUUUUUGGGGAGAUUAUGUGAUCACAGCAGCAUAUUUGAUUAAUCGCAUGCCAUCACGCAUUCUGCAAGGGAAGACACCAUUUGAGGUGUUGUAUGGAAGGAAACCCAAUCUAAAUCAUCUCAGAGUUUUUGGGUGUCUCUGUUAUGUAACUACAGUGGGACACAGGGAUAAGAUGGCACCACGUGCUAGUGAAUGUAUAUUCAUGGGGCAUCCCACCUUAAAAAAGGGAUAUCGGAUUUACACACCAUCCACAGGAGAAUUUCUCGUGAGCAGAGACGUUGUUUUCCAUGAGAAUAUUUUUCCCUUCCAAACUGUUGUUUCUUUAUCUGAAGAUGAAAAGACAGCCAAUUCAAGAUUCUUGUUGGAAGAAGAUUUACUUUCGGGAGGAACAUUUAUUGCUACUUCUCCACCAGGACCAACUGUUCAAUUGCUUACAUUGCCUGUUGAGACAUCUACAAGUCAUUCCAUUGAGGAACCUCAUAUAGAAGAACCAGCACAGUUCACAGAACUUCCAACACCAAGCCCUGUUAUAGAAGAGUCCUUCUCAUUACAACAAGAGCCUACACAGUGUUCUAAUCGAGUUGCACGGCCACCAGCUUGGACGAAGGAUUACAUAUGUGGUUCUUCCAGAUUAUCAAGUACUCGUUAUCCUCUCUCGUCUUAUAUCUCAUUCGAUAGGAUAUCACCAGAAUAUUUAUGUUGCAUGAGCCGUAUUUAUGAAGAACGAGAACCUUCUAGCUAUAAUGAGGCCAAAGACGAUCCUCGUUGGCAAAAGGCCAUGGAGGCUGAGUUACAUGCUUUGACAAAAAAUCAUACUUGGGAUGUUGUGCCAAUGCCUACUCAUCGAAAACCCAUGGGAUGUAAGUGGGUUUUCAAUAUCAAGUACAGGGCAGAUGGUUCUGUAGAGAGAUAUAAGGCGCGAUUGGUGACCAAAGGAUUCACACAGCGAGAAGGUUUUGACUACCAUGAAACUUUUUCGCCUGUUGCAAAAGAUGUCACGGUUCGAUCUUUCUUAUCAGUUGCUGCUUUUCGUGACUGGCCUUUGCAUCAAAUGGAUGUGCAUAAUGCUUUUUCACAUGGUGAUCUGGAUGAAGAAAUCUACAUGGAUCUUCCACCAGGAUUAUGAAGACAGGGGGAGUCUAAAGUAUGUCAUCUCCGUAAAUCUCUUUAUGGACUAAAGCAAGCCUCUCGACAAUGGUAUGCCAAGUUUACUAAUGCACUUAUGACCGCUGGAUUUAAGCAGUCCAAAUAUGACUAUGCUCUAUUCACAUGGACAAAAGGUAUGUCAUCUAUUUACUUGAUGAUUUAUGUUGAUGACAUACUUAUCAUGGAAAAUGAUGAUUCUGCUUUGAAGAAACUUAAAGCACAUCUACAUUCCACCUUCCAUAUCAAAGAUUUAGGGUCACCUAAAUAUUUUCUUGGAAUAGAGAUAGCUCGUUUAGAUCAGGGAAUCUCUCUCAGUCAGCGGAAAUUUAUAAUGGAAAUCAUAUCAGAAACAGGACUGUCAGGCUGUAGACCAGCCAUUAUUCCUACUGAGCAAAAUGCCAAGCUGACAUCUAUCGACUAUGAUACUGGCAUAUCUUCUCCUUCUGAUGAUCCGUUAUUAAAAGAUCCGUCGGGAUAUCAGAGACUUGUAGGGAAACUUAUAUAUCUCACUAUGACUAGGCUAGACAUCUGCUAUGCAGUGCAGACUCUUAGUAAAUUUUAUGCACAAUCCAAAGCAAUCUCACAUGAAUGCAGUCUUGAAGAUCGUGAGAUACUUAAAGACAUGUCCAGGCCUAGGGAUACUCCUCUCUCGAAAAUGCAACAUGGUCAUGACGGCUUACUGUGAUGCAGAUUAUGCCACAUGUCCUAUAAGUAGGAGAUCCAUUACCGGAUUCUGUAUCAAAUUUAGGGAAUCAUUACUUUCAUGGAAGACAAAGAAGCAGUCUACUGUAUCUCUAUCUUCAGCUGAAGUCGAGUAUCGAUCCAUGGCCAAGACUGUCUAUGAAAUAGUUUGGUUAAGGGGUUUACUUCAGGAUCUCGAGGCACGAGUUGAAGGAUUGACUACACUUUUUUGUGACAAUGAUUCAGCACUCAAACUUGCAGCAAAUCCUGUAUUGCAUGAGAGGACAAAACACAUAGAAGUUGAUUGUUACUUUACUUGAGAAAAGAUUCAAGAAGGAAUAGUCGAAACAAGAGGGAUCAUAACCUCAGAGCAACCAGCAGAUAUAUUCACUAAACCUCUUUACCAAAGAUAACAUGCAUAUCUUCUAAACAAGCUUGGAGUCUUGGACAUCUACAAGCCACCAGCUUGAGGGGAAGUAUUGGAAGAUAUGAUUUAACAAAUCAUAUCAAAUUGUAAAUUGAUAUAUGUAAUAUUGUCUAUCUUAGGUUUAGAAAGAUAGGGGAUAAUUAUUUUCCUUUAUUGUUUCUUUCUUUGUAAUUAAAUACAAUGUAUUGUGCACAUAUUACAUUCAAUAGAGAGAAUACAACUUUUCUCCUAUUUCUUCUUUCGCAUACUUUCCUUUGAUCUUCUAACAAAUUAUAAUUGGAUUAGGAUGACGAUUUGAUCAUGGACUGCAAUCUUGCAAAUUCUUUAGUCUCUAUUCUAUACAAUUUCUUGAUCAUUCCAGCAACCGACCAUAAUAUUUCGACUUAUUGAUAUCUAUAAAAGUUCUGUAUUAUAACUAGAUUAGAACAUAUCGCAGUUCAGAUCACUUGUAUACCACUCCGGGCGAUAGAAUUGCUUAGAUUAGAACAUUGCUUAAUCUGAAUUACCACUUCGGGCGAUAGAAUUGAUUGCUUUAUGACGCUCUUGCUGGACCAAUAUCGCAGCUAAGAUCACUUCAGUGUGUUAGCUCAAAAUUUCUACAUGAAUAAAUGAUCCAUUAGCAACAACUCUCACGACGAGAAAAAAAUCAUCACCGCAUCACACGGAUCCCAUAUCUACACUAUGCGAAUUCCAUGAAUAACUCGCACGAUGUGAAAAAGGGCAUCAGGGGCAUCGGGAGUCUUUCUAAAAAAAUACAGAGAAGAACUGGGACUCAAAAGGACAUUUUUGGUUGAUGUCGUUUAGGAAUCAAUUGAGCUUUGUUUGUACCAAGCGUCUAACCCUCAAAAGCUAGAGAACUAUGUUACAGUGUGUAAUCUCAACGUCUACACAUAAACAUGUGCCCCGAAAUGCAAAAUGCAUUUGCGAUAGAGCAAACCAAUAGAAACACCUCUCAUGAAGAGAGAAGAUCAGUGCUGCGUCACACCAAUCCUAUGUAUGCUUUUCGCGAAUUCCAUUGACAAUCCCGCACAAGUAGCCAUGAGAAAAUGCGAUUUUGGAGGCCGAAGAUGGCGAGAACAAAACUUUUUGAUCAAGAUAAAGUGUCAAAUAUAGGUCGUAGUAGGAAAAUUUUCUCAAGCCAAAGAUUAGAAAAGUCAUUGAUCAAGUAGCAUCUCAUGUACUCCCAAACUUGCCCUUUUGAAUUGACGAAACAAUGCAUCGUGACAAGCAAAUCUUCUGAGAAACUGUAAAAAGAGGCCAAGCCACUCGAUGCAAUUCUAUGAUUCGAACAAUGAAAAAGAAUGAGAAUUUUUUGGAAAUUUUCAAAUUCAGAUUUCAUCAAUAUGGAUUGAGAUGUUGUUUAGAAGGAACUAUGUUUUGAGGAGGGAAUAUAGUAAUAGCAUCCGUCAGCUGACCAAUAUCAAUUGGAAAACCAAAUGUUGUGUUUACAUACAAGAUGGUAUGGAAAGCUUGCAACUUGUGCUAGCCAUUAGGAACCUAAGGAAAUUAGUCCUUCGAUUCUCGGACUUAAUAGGGUUGACACAUCUCCGACUGACUAAUGUCGAGAAUGGUUAUUGUUUUGAAAGGCUUCUUCUUGCUCUUUUGGCAUGAAAUUUCUUUUUCUCAUUUAAAUACCAAAAAUGACGUAGAUAGUAGUCUCGUACCAUAUUAAGAAGAAAAUAUAUCAAUUGGCUCAAAAUUCACUAAUAUAUUCGAUUUGUGAGAUUUAAAUUUCUAAUCCUAUUUAAUUUCUGAUUUUAUAUUGAUCAAGUAAGCUUUCGUUUCUCACCUUUACUCUAAAUUUCCAACCACCCUUUAGAUCUCCGUCCACAUGCAAAGUCAAAUCAAGUGUAAAAUCCGAAUGGUUUUCGAUGGCUGCGACUCGCCGGUCACCUUGGAGGAAAAGAAAAGAAAGGAAAUCUCAUCUUCAUUACAAAGAUGGCCAGCCCAGCCCACGUAAUUCUCAGGCUCCAUGGGCCGUUUGGCGAAUUUUUGGGCUGGAAUCUCUAUCGGCUGUUGGAUCUUUUCCAAGGACCAGCACGACCCAAUCCGAUCCGGAUUCGAUUCGCUUCUUUUUCGGAUCCCCCGAUUUCCUCUCCAUUUUCAUCCAUUUUCAUUUUUAUUCCCAUGUGCUCUUUUAUUUAUUUAUAUAUUUAUUUUUUGCUCUUUUAUUUAUUUAUUAAUUUAAUUUACUCUCGCAUCAAUGCGUUUAAAGAGAAGGAGGAGAGAGGAGAGGGAGAAACAGACGAGUGGAAGUUUUCGCGAGUGAGGGGUUCACAGAGCGCUCUUUCUCUCUCUCCUCUUUCUUCCCCUUUCUCCAAGGGCUCCGAAUCGAUCGUCGUCGGAGACUCUCGCCGAUUCCUCGAGCGCGCCCUUCCGAUUUCUAGGAGCCGAUUGAGAUGGUGAGUUCGCGUCCCCGCUUUUAGAUCUGCAGCGAGUAAUUGGCUGCUCGAUUGCCGGCUCACCUGAUAGUCCUAGGUGAGGUGGGUGGCAUUGGGCAACUAAAUAAGGGGGUCCUUAGUGUGUUUUCACCUGAACUUGGUGGUUUAGUACCAUGAGUACUGAAUGUGCGUGACAUUGUUGAGUUAGCGGAUGCGCUACAUUGUAAAUGAUUUUCUUUCUGACCAAAAAAAAAUUUGAUUUUCUUUCAGGGUCGGACACCUUUUUUUUUCGCAUUAUCUAUUGAAUUUAACUUCUCACGGGUAACGAAUUAUUCAAGUUGGCGAGAUUUGGAAGAAUUGAUAAAAAGAUGUGCCUUUGGAACCCUUUUGUCGAAGCUUGGAGAUUAUUUCUGUGGAAGGAUUGAUAAAAAGAUGUCUUUUCAAAGUAUUAUUCAAGGAUUACCUUGAAGAGACUUGCAGAGCUGUUAUACCUCAGCCUUCAGGUUGAUUAUGUUGAACACUUGUUUAUAUUCUUCAUCAGUGUCAAUCUUUAUGAAUGAUUGCGUAGAGCCCUCAUUUAACACUGAGCAGCCUCUCUGCCUGUGAUCCCUGUGGGGCAUGGUUGCUGGACUUGGAUACAAGUCCCAAAAAAAGUGGAAAAGAAGUUUUGGUGCCUUGAAAGUGGCUUGUCAUGAGGUUGAGAAUGUUGUCUUUGUAGUUUCAUUUUGUAAACAUUUCUUACCAAUAUAUAUGUGUGGACUUCACUUUGUCAACUUCUGCUCAUGAAAUUUGUAGCUGUAAGUGUCAUUGUCUGGCGUUUUGAAACCAUUUCUUGUCCCAUGGAGCCUAAAAUUCCAAUGCCCUUUAGAAGGGUGGGAGGAGUUUUGCUAUCACUCACCAUUUCCUGUGUUACCAAAGUAUAUCUUGUGAUUAGAGCUUUCUUAUUGUGUUCUGAAAAUCUAUGUAGCUGAAUCACUCAAGGAAAAGAGCUCUGUUUUUGGGUUCUGUUACAACUGUUGUAGAGAGCUUUGAUUGUUCUAUGUUACCAUUUUAGGAAUCUUAAAAUCAUCUCUCCAAAAUGGUUGUUUCCAAGUCCCUAGUGGCACAGAUAGACCGGCCGAUGGGAGUUGUCUAUUUCCAGAUGACAAAGGACAGCAAUAUCAUCUUGAAUUUGUGGGCGACAAAUUUAGAAAAGCUCCUCAAUCUUGUUGAAAAAAGUUGCCACCAAAUCUACAAGGAAACGUUGGUUCAUAAGGCUGCUUUGAGAGCUUGAUAAUGUUCUUAGUUGAAUGAAUGAUCUCUCUCCCCUUGAGCGUCCCUCGAUCUCUCACCAAAAGAGAAGCGGAAUAAUGAUGUUUCACAUUGUGGACUGAAGUGGGACUGAAGAUGUUUAUCAUAUCUCUCGUGCAGCUGGCUUUAAUUUGAUUGCUUAUUUUGCAGGGGGGCCAGAGCUGGGCCUUGUCUGGACUGAAAUGAUACAAUGAGUACACUUUCUGCAUAGGAAUUAGGAAUUUAUGUUGGUCUUUUCUUCUUUCCUCUUCAUCCCUCCUUUUCAUUGAAGAUUUUUGAGCUCUCAGGGUCCAGAACUUGUGCCAUUGGAAUUAGUAUCAGCACAAGAUGUGCACUCAAUGCAACAGAAUGAGCAUGUUAAAAUCUGUUUGGCAUUACAAAUUUUGCUGGUGCUUAUAUUUUUUUUAACGUUGGGGAUAACACUAGCUCUCCAUAGAAAAGGCGAAUGGAUGUUAUUUUUUUAUAUCAUUUCACAUUUGAAUUUCAUCUUCAGCAGAGAGAGCGUGUUUCUUUUGGACCCAACCUUGGCCAUUGGCGGUUCUAAAAACCUGUUUCUGGGGAGCUUCAUUCAAUUAGGUAACUGCAUUUUUUAUCUCCUCAAGAGAGACAUAGUUUCUCUCCAAGUUGAUGUUUUGAUGUCAUUUCCAUAAGACACUCCGUUUUGAUGUCAUUUCUAUAUAUAGUUUCUGUCACUGAAAUGUGUUUGAUUCCGACUGGUUUUGACAUCUCUUUGAACUCUUGGCACGUGUGUGUAAUACAAUGAGAAGCUUUGAAAUAUUGAGGAUAAUGUGUUUCUUCGACGAUCAUAAAAUUUCAGAUUUGAGGGGAGUUUUCUUUACAUAGUCUCUUCCCAUUUUCAAUUUACUAUAGGUGCUUCUAAGUGGCAACAUGGGAUUAUUUCUUUGUCUAAUUUGUUUUUGCUUUUAUCUUUUGACACCAUCGCAUAUUUCCUAUUAAUCUCGGCAUUUGAUUGAUUUCAUUGGUCAAUUAUUGUCUAAAAUCCCUUUUCUUUACCGAAGAAGAUGUAAAGGUUUUGAAUAUUGUGUCAUAGAGUGAAAUGGGAAAAAAGUGACUCCUAUGGGGACCACUGGGUAGUUCUUUAACUUUAUUCGUUUCAUGGAACAUGUUUGGAUGGAACUAGAAAAAAUAUGAUCCACUCCUUAAGUUUUCUAUUACACUUGUAUUUAUGCAGAUCUCCGAGUCCAGUAAAAUAUCAGAGGAAUGGCACACUCUCAUGGAAGGAUGAGAAGCAACCUGAGUGAAAAACCCUUCGUCUCUACCCUCUGAAAGCUUAUUACUUCAUUAAUAUCAUUAUGUAGAGCUUUCGAUACUUCAUCUCUUUUCAUUUUUUGCAAGUGUACAAAAAAGCUCGUGUCAAGUACGACAGUCCAAAGUUUACAUCAACGCAAAUAAUAUAGAAGAAAUAGAGCGAUUAUUUAUAAGUUGCUCACGAACGUUGUGUUGAAUGCAUUUUCCAAUUUUGCGCUUGAUUGAUAGAAGAAUAGUUCCUAGUAGUAAAUCUCUAAUCAAGUUGAAUCCGAGAAAUUCCAUUCAUGUGGUUUCAACUAAUAUUGUAGAUCAAUUUAUAGGUCUCAAAAUCGUAAGUUGGAGUUAAAGUGGACCGUAAAAUGUAUCGUAGGAAUUUGGAAAGUACUCAGCAAGAUGGGCACUCAUUCGUACUGAAAUAAGCGCCUCAUCACUAAAUUCUGUUUUACAUUAUGAAUUUUGAUGGCGCUUGUGAGGCUAAUGAAUGCUAUUUGUCAUUUCCCUUCAAGGGAGAACGUUUCUCUUGAAGUCGAUACUUCAAUAGGGAAGUGGCCUUUGUUCUCUGGAGUUCUAUCUCCUCCAUUCUUCGUCACGGAAGCUGAAAAAUACGGGGAAGAGGAAAUGAUUGGGGCAAUCCUUGGUCUAUUUCCGCAAUAGGCAGUCUACAUACGUGGGGAGUUUUGUUUGUUCAUAGAGAAGAAACUGUGGGCACAUCUUUAGCUUUAGCUAUAGAAGUAAUAAUGCACAAUAAAUAACGAGUACCUUCCCAACAAAAUGGAUUUAUUUAUCUUUUUAUUGAAGAAUGCCACCGUGAGAUUUGCUUAGCAAUCAGCAUAAGUCGGACGAAGAAUAUUAGUGAGUUUCCAUACUUUUUCCCGUUGUUCAUGUAAUCAAUGAUUUGAAAAUUACAUCAAAUAUCAUAAGAUACACUUAAAGUCAUUCGUGCAGUCAAUAAAUAUUUUGGUCAUAAUUGGAAGAUCUCUUUUUGUCAUGUACUUAGAAAACUAAUUAAAAUAGCUUCUAUAAAGCAUAGAAAACAUUUUGUUUGGCAAAAGGAGAUAUUCAAAAUUUUCAAAACAUUUUGUUUGACCAAAUUUAGCAUAAGAAAAGGUUUAUUAUAUUCAUUACGAUAAGGACCAAUUAAUGAUAAAAUCAAAAUUUUCAUUGAUCAAAAAAAGCAAUUGUCGAAACCGAUCAAUUCUAGUAAAAAAAUCUAUUAAACUCUUUUCAAAAUGAACUAGCAGAUCAUAUACUUGACAAAGAAGACCUCGUCGAUUAUAGUUGACAAUUUUUGGCAAAUUGGAGUUGUACCAUUUUUGAAAACGCUGAUUGGUUUUCCUCUUUUUGCUGUUUUCUUAACAAAACCUUGAAUCCCAUCUUCUUCGUUUUUUUGUACAAUUCUUUCGUUUUCAUUUUUUUUUCUUUUUUUAUCUGCCAUCCUAAGUGUAAUCAUUUAAAUCGUGGACAUUUCGACAACGGCAACGUGGUGAGAAGAAGAGAUAAAUUUUGAAAAAAAUAAUAAUAAUAAUUGAAAAGUUAUCAUUCUUGUUUCUCAGCUUUAAGCCAAUCGUUCCUCUUUUCUAUGCUCGUGAAGGAGGACUCUUGUUCUUUGCCCAGUCGUUGCAGCUUUCCGUUAAAGCUCGAGGUUUUUGCGCCAUUUCAAAGACUGGAGUGUUGUCAUCAACUCAUACCCCCAUCACCAUCUUCUGCAGCUCGAGGUUUCUGAAUGUGGAGUGAUUUCCUUGUUCGUGGAUUAAAAAACGUUGUGGCUGAGACGGUAAGUGCCGGCUAGAGGAAAAGCACUCGUCCCUACAGAUCUGAGCAUCGCAAUGCCAAAGGAAACAUAAUGCUCGGAUAUGUAAUGUGCGACUUCUUUACCUCGAAACAUUCUCUCAGUACCUUGUUUUGGAUAAUCGACGAGGGUUGAGUCGAAUCGCUUGUACAUUUGUUAUUCCAGCGCCUAGAUCGGGUUCGGCAUGGAAGUAUUCGAUCAGCAUCGGGUGUGGGUGGACCUCAGAGGAUAUCGACUUUGAAGUGAAGAUGGGUGAAAGGAUCGCACAGCUGAUCAUUGAGAAGGUCGUGAUUCCCGAUGUUGCUUCGGAGGUCGAGGACCUGGACUUGACUCUGAGAGGUGAGGGCGGGUUUGGGUCGACCAGGUGUAAGGCCCAUGUGCUGGGUUUCGGUUGCAACUUUGUUCUCUGUAAGUUUGUUUUCACUGGGGAUGAGGUUGUGCCUGGGAUGCACGCAGGUGUGGUAGGAGCAUUUUCUUGGUGAGAAAUUUUGUCGAACAAUUGGUGGAUAAAUAUUUGCUAAUGGCUAUGUGUUCAGCCGCGCUUUUGAAGUAACUCCUUGUGCUUAGCCUGUCUCUGUUUAAUUGUGAAAUAUGGAUCCCGCUUUUCAAGUUGGCAGUUUGUUGGGGUGAGCCUUGCAGCAAGUAAUUAGCUAGUUGAUUGCUGGCUUACGUAUUAGUCCUAGAUAAUGGUAUUGGGCAACUAAAUAAGGGGAUUCUCAGUGUUUUUACAUGAACUUCUUGGUUUAGUACCAUAAUUAUUGAAUUUGUGUGACAGAGUUGAUUUGGCGGAUGCACUAUCUCGCAGAUGAUUUUUUUAAGGGUCUGACACCAUGACCUAUUGACUGUUAACUUUCUGCAGGUAAUAAAUUAUCCAAGUUGGCGAGAUUUGGAAGAAUUGCUUAGAAGACGUGCUUUGGAACUCUUUAUUGAAUGAAGGUUGGGGUUUAUAUUCCUGUGGAAGUUUAAUGGUGCUCAUGUGUAAACAAAGAAUUGGUAAUAAGCAAAAUGUUAACCUUGAGAUAUACUUUCUGGCAGGGUGCUUGUAUUUGCUUAUGAAGUGAAAUUAAUUGAUAACAGUGAGUAUUCAGCACCCAAGUAGUACAAAGUGAGUUUCCAGCAGUUAGCGUCGUCACUUUCUCAAAAAGAAAUAAAAGGAGGUGAUAGCAAACUCAACAGGUAGAAGUUGUUGAAAGAUUACUUGGUAACUUAAAGGAAGCAUUUAACUAAAAUUAGUUAUCAAUAAGUAUCUCCCCCAAUCUAUGAAGUCAAUGUCAGAUCGUGUGAUGUUGCAUCCUAUCAGGAACACUAAUUGGAAGUUCUCAUUAACAAAGAACGAAAAUAACUUUUUCAGCUGAGUAGGAAAAUAAUGCACAAAGCUAUGUGGAUAAGCUGGACAUUGUGGUACUAUCUAGUAGGGAGGUACUAGCAAAAUACUUUGAUGUACUUUUACAAGAUGGCCCUCCCUUUGGAAGUAAACGUGUGAGUGAGGAUUGAAAAAUAGAGAUCCUUAGUCUGCGAUGACAGAGAAAAGGCAUAUUGUUUAAGUUAAGUAGAUUUAUUCUGUUUUAUCAUCUUUUCAGGGUUUAGUGAAGUCAGCAAUCGGUGAUCCACUUUGUUUUUAUUCUGGUCAGUAGAUUUGUUUUAGGAUUUGAGUUCUCUUGUGUAGGGAUAUAUUGUUUUUGCUUUAGAUGGAAAGGUUUUUCCUUGGUGCCUUACUUAUUAUACCUUUUACACGACAAAGAAAUCAGGGAGAAAAGAAAUUGAGAUUGGGUGCCAAACGAGUGAUUCAAAAUACUAAUCAACUAAAGAUGAACAGUAAGUACGAGUUGUACCUCUCGAUUGCAAUAAGGGUUUGCUGUGGAGUUUCUCCCUUGCAUGAACAUAGCAUGUGUUAGGUUUGAUAGUGGCGAAAGGAAUAUUAAACAAGCAGGAGCCAAGAUUAUUGCGUUCAGUCAUCUACCUAAUUCUUGGGGCAUGAAUUUUUGUCUACCCAGCUCGAAGCACUCUUUGCCUUCCUCGUCAAGUGAUUGAGUCAAAAUUAUUUGAUGACGCUGAUACUUGGAUAUUCAUACUUGUUAAGUCAUUUUUCCUGUUAUAUAGUUGCUUCCAAACUUUAUUGUACCAAAUGAGUAUCUUACAUUCCUUUGUUAUGAGUGAAUUGGAUCAUCAAGAUUAACCAAUGUCCAGGUAUUUGCCUUUUCAUCUCUGCUUUUGGGUGAUAAGCUAGUGGAAUUUUCACUCUUCAUUGAUUGUAUUUCAUUGAUAUGCUAUGCUGAAUGCUGAUAAGUUCCUCUAGAUUAGUUUAGAGCAUUAUGACAGGUGGCUAUUUAUUAUUCCUAACCAGAUUUUUGCCUUCACAAUUGUUAUUAGGAUUGCUACCUAUCUAGGAGGCAAUUAGAAAGAUGCAAGUUGAUCACAUCGACAAUCAUUCCCAGUUUAGAUUAGGAGUAACAUCAUUGGAGAUGUAGAAUGGGAUUCCUAAUCCCAGUCCCAAAUAUCCUACUUUGCCUAUUUAAUUGGGACUCAACCUCAUAGUAAAUCAAAUUAGGGGCCACUUCUCAUCAUGCAUGACCAACGGUAUGUCUGAAACAAUACAUAAACGCCGAACCUGCUAAUUGGGGCUGACUUUGGGGUUUGAACUAUAAGGGGAUUAUAAAUGAAAUUGAGGUGCUGGUCUUGUCCUGAAUUAAAUUUACUUGGUGGUUGUAGCAAGGCUGAAGAUACUUAUUAUACAGACUUGAGAGAGUUCAUAUGCUUUCACAUGGAUUAAGAAUAACCUUUAAUUGCUGGAGUUGGAAGUGAGCUAUUGCUGGAGUUGGAAGUGAGCUCUACUUCUAUGAGAGCUUGGGUUGGGGUAUAUGGGAGGUCUGCUGUGCCUCCACAACCAACAGUGCAGCACAAUGCCGUCACCUUUGUACAACAACCAUCUCUUCUUGCUAAGAACGGAAUUCUUUUUUACUUCAUAGCAUAGAGCUCUUUACCUUGUCUAUUUCUUUCACCCUUCUCUCUUCUUCUUUUCAAUGUCAUCAUCUGGUUUUGCUUUCAUGUUGUUUUCUUCUUUACUUUCGCCAUCGUCAACAGUGCAGAGUCUUAUGAUUAUUGAUCCGAAGUGUGGUCCAGUUUCAAUCAUUUGGGAUUGAUCUUAAUAACAAUUACCUUAGGGGUUUUAUUUAUAAGGACUUAUAUUGCAGCAUUGCCUCCCAUUUGUGCACUGAUUAGACCUUAUACUAUCAUUUUGUGCAGUCGUAACAUGCCAUCAUACAUGACUAUUUGAAAAAUGAAUCUCAUUGGCAUAUCAAUANNNNNNNNNNNNNNNNNNNNNNNNNNNNNNNNNNNNNNNNNNNNNNNNNNNNNNNNNNNNNNNNNNNNNNNNNNNNNNNNNNNNNNNNNNNNNNNNNNNNCGCUCAUGCUAUUUGCAAGUUUUUUCAUUUGGCUGGGAUCCUCGUCAUUGUAUUUCUAUUGCACCUUGCUAUUACCCCUUUUAGUUGCUUUUUUCUCUCUAUUUUUUUUUUCUAGAAUGAAUAAUUUUUCUUGCUGUUAAUCAGAUAGUUUAACUGAAAGUUUUAAUUUUGCGCGGGACAUAAUCAAGUAAUGAAUUAAUUGGAUGGUGACAUACGCAUUGCUAUCUACUUAUAAACAGGCUAUUGCAGCAAUGGAGAAGCAGGCUAUGCGAUAUAUUGACCAGACACCUGAUCUUGAGAUCAAGAUUGAGCUUAUUAAGACACUUAACUCUGUUUCUGCUGAGAAGGUGAAAAUGGGAAAUCAAACUCUAUUGUGGGCUACGUUCGUGAGCAAUCUGUUUUGGUUUCAUGGUUUCUAUAGCUAGUGUCAUUAUGCAGCUAUUUGUGGAAAUUGAGAGAGCACGGUUGCUAAAGAAACUUGCAAACAGUAAAGGAAGAACAGGGUCUUGUAGCAUAUGCUGCUGAUUUGAUACAAGAAAUUGCAGAAACUAGAAGUCGACUUCUGUGGUCACUCAUUUGGUAAUUGGUUUUUCCUUGUCCAACAUCAUGAGUGGUUUGAAUUGCAGUGGAAAAUUUUGGAGCAGUGGAAAAUAUGGAGAAAAUUGCCUUUAUCCUUGAACGAUAUGGGAUGUUUAUCUUGCUUUUAGCCAUUUAUGCUCUAUUACUAUGAUUGGUUUUCGUUGAUGGAUUUUGCAGGUUUUUUGUGCUUAGAUCGCCAAGACUAUGUCUGAGCAUAGAUCCAGACAAUUAGCCCCCAGUGUUUGAUGCAGAUCCUUCCAAAGAGUAGAAAAAGCCCAAAGCAGGGGAAAUUAUUGUGGAAAAAGCGCCAGCUGAUAUUCCGUCACUUCUGGAGUUGAAAUGGAUAUAAUAUGAACAUAAUAUGAACCCAUGAUAUGGUGAAUUGGUGCUUUACUUAUUCUAAUGUUGUGUCUAUAAUUUUUUAACUAAAGUUUUUUCACCAAUCAAGCGCUACCCAGUAUUCAGGUUGUGGUUCAAGCCAUGGCUUUAUUCAUCUAUCGCAUUCUCUUUUUCCUUUAUAUCUUUAUUGCAAACUCUAAUGUUAGAGAUGUACUUAAUGGAUUUGAACACACAUCUUGCCUCGCAUUCAUGUGGUAAGCAUGUAGUAUUACCCACAUUACAAUGGUUACCUUGAAAAUUUGCCAUUGCUAUAUGGCGAUAUAUGAGAUUCCAUCAGUAAAGGGGAAACCUGGAGCAGUGGAUACCAGCGAAGCUCUUCCAUAUGAGGCUUUGUCAAGUCUUCACUGAUUUUUUUAAGGCACGGGUUUUCAUUCCAUGAUUUAAUUAGUUGCAGGUUCUAAGGAAAAUCUACUGGUACUUAAUUCGGUUACCACAUGAUCAUAUGCAGUCAAGCCCUCUUAAUGCCACUUCAGAAGAUAAAGAUCUCUCAGAAAUUCUCCAAUUCAGGUACAUCUUUGAAUUGUUUCUAGGUAUUUGGUUGUACUUUUUCUUGCAAUAUCUCGAUAUUCUACCAAAGAAUUUGGUUGGCUGUGCCUUUGUUAUUUUAACACAAGUUGCAGCCGAAACAAUUGUUCACAAUGGAGGUUAUCCAAUUUACCGCUCUUUGGAGUACUUUUAGAGAUGAAAUUGAGAAUGAGAAAAAACAUGCUUGAAGGCACACUUGUUGAGAAGGCAGCAGAAGAUCUUAGACAGAGAAUGAGCUGACAUGUAACUAUAGAACUUCGUCGUUUUUUCUUGUUUUCUUUGGAUCAUCAUUGAGAUGUGACUCUAUUAUCUGUAGAAUAUCAAUGUCGUUUUGAAGUAUUACUCAAGGAUUGCCUUGAAGAAACUUGCAUAGCUGUUAUGCCUUAGCAUCUAGGUUGAUUAUGUUGAACAUUUUUUUUAUAUUCUUUAUCAAUAUCAAUCUUUAUGACUGAUUACCUAGACCCCUCAUUUAACCCUUAGCAGCCUCUCUACCCCAGAUACCUUCACGGUAUGGUUGCUGGACUUGGAUGCAAGUUCCAAAAAAAUGGAAAAGAGGUUUUGGUGCCUUGAAAGCCAAGGCUUCUCUUGAGGUUGAGAAUGUUGUCCUUGUAGUUAUUCCAUGAACAUUUUAGACUGAUAUAUAUGUGCACACUAUGCUUAGUCAACUUCUUCUCAUAAAAUUUGUUGUAGCUAUAAGUGUCAAUAUCUAGCAUUGUGAAACCAUUUCUUGUCCAGGGAGCCUGAAAUUCUAAUGAUUCACCAUUUCCAGUGUUACGAAAGUAUAUCUCAAGAUUAGAGCUUUCUUAAUGUGCUCAUAAAAUCUACAUAGCUUAAUCACUCGAUUAAAGGGACUCUAUUUUUGAGGUUCUAUUACUGCUGUUGUAGAGAGCUUUAAUCAUUAACAUGUCUCAAUCUAUUAAAUCAACACAUCACCUACUAGAGAGACUGCGUAAUAGUAAUUAUAUAAGCCUGUAUGAUACUCCAUCAGCAUGACCUGUUAGUUCUAUGACCAUUUUAGAAAGCUAAGAAGCAUCUCUCCAAAAUGUUAUUUUCCAAGUCUCUGGUGGGAAAGACAGACCUGGUGAUUUGGAGUUGUUUGUUUCCGGACGACUAACGAAAGCAAUGUAUCUUGAAUUGAGGCUACAGAUUUGGAAAAGCUCCUUGAUCUUGUUGAGGAAAGCUGCCACCAUAUUCGCAAGCAAACUAUGGCUCAUAAGGUUGCUUUAAGAGUUUAAAGAUGUUCUUAGUUGAAUGUAUGAUCUCUCUCCCUUGAGCCUCCCUCUCUCUUACCAAAAGAGAGAAGCUGAAGAAUGCCGUUUCUCGUUGUCCUCUGAAGUCUGAAGUGGGGACUAAAGAUAUCAUAAACUCACAAGUCUGAAGUGGGGACUAAAGAUAUCAUAAACUCACAAGUCUGAAGUGGGGACUAAAGAUUUCAUAAACUCACGUGUAGCUGUCUUAAAUUUAAUUGCAUAUUUUGCAGGUGGACCAGAUCUGGGCCUUGUCUUGGGCUGAAAUGAAACACUGAAUACACUUUCUGCAUUGGAAUGUAUUUCAAUUGUUUCAUCUUUCCUCUUCCUCAUUCCUUUUAAGUGAAGAUUUUGGGCUCUUAAGGUUCAAAACUUGUAACAAUGGAGUUGGUAUUGGCACAAGAUGUGCGCUCAUUCUAUCAAAAAUGAGGUGUUGUUACAAAGUUCUGUUUUGCAUUACAAAUUUUACAGGUGCUUGUGUCUUACUAACAUCCUUAGUAAUAUCGGGGAUAACAUUAGCUCGUCAGAAUCACCUCGCAUUCAAGAUGGAUUUAAUGUAAGGCGGUAACUAAAUUAGUUGUUGAUUGUAAGAUCGUCGUAAUCGUCUAACUUAUUCAUGUAAGGACAAACAAAACCUAUCGUAUUUAUUAUCAAUCGAUUGUCAGUUGCCUCAAUAAUGUAAUAUACAUAUACUAGAUUCUAUGGUCAUUAUUGAUAUGUCAAAUGUCUGAGUAUCUUGUAGCUCCAUUCAAAUUGGGAUACAGAGGCUCACCCAAUUCUAGUCUUCCGUGAAAUGUGUGCAUCUAAUUUUUUCAAUUGACCUUACUCUGAGCAUCAGCAUUGCCCGUUGGUUUUCUUUUUGAGUUUUUCAUAUACUUAGAAAAGUAAGUCAAGUCAAGAUAUGAUUAGAUGAUGAAGAAAUUACGCCUGCAAUUAUUGCCCUUUACAAGGUGUAUUUUCUAAUUGUUUUUAUGAAUAGAAAAAGCAACUCAAAUCGAAGUCAAGUCGUGCUCACUUUCAAACGAAAAGGCCUGCGUAGGCGCUACGCUUUUUGCUGCGCAAUGCCGUGGAAGUUACGCAUGUAAUAGUCGCCCUUUUCGUGCAGCAUGCAUCGCCACGGUUCGAUUAGUUCAACAGUCUAUUAACGUUAAAUUUUAAUGUUCUUACUUGUGUGGUUAAUCACUCUCAUACUAAGCCGUUGAGCUUUUUUUCCUAUAUUAUCUUAUCAUUUCAGGGUUUGAUUAAUACCGUGCAAAGGAAAAAUGCGCUUUGGUGGAGAAGCUGUUGGCUGAAAAUGCCAACGUGAAAUAUAAAGCUAAACAACAAAUGAAAUAAAAAGUUAACGGAUAUUCACAAAAUAAUUAUUCAACGGUGUAGAGAACCUGUUGGUCAUGAAUUUCUAAAUGUGAUACCGAACAUAUAAACUUGCAAUUGCCAUCACUCAGGAGGAGCCAACUGAGUCCAUGAGAAGGAAAAAAUAUGUCAACCGAAUUAUCUCAUGUAAGUAAUGAGAUUGAUUUAACAUAAUCCCACAGCUCAAUAAGUUGUUGAUUAUACAAACAAAAUCGUCGUAAUUUUCUAACUUGCCCAAAUAAAAACGAACAAAACCUCCCAUGUUUAUUAUCUAUCGAUUAUUAGUUACCUCGAUAAUUUUCGUAUAUUAUAAAUCCUUCAAUCAUUAUUGAUAUAUUAAAUGUUUGGAUAUGCUUAUAGCUACAUUCAAAUCCAGUCUUUCGUAGAAUGUGUGCACUAAUUUUCGGCCAACCUUACUCCGAGCAUCAGCAUUGCCCGUUGGUUUUCUUUUCAAUAUUUUCAUUUAUCUAGAAAAGCAAGUCAAGUCAAGAAGCACAUGGAUAGGUAGGUUCAACGCACCUUCCCUGUAAUGCAGGGCAAAUUACGUUUGCAAUGAUUGUCCUUUGCUUUUUAUUUUCUAAUUAUUUUAUUAAGAGAAAGAGCAAGUCAAGUCGAAGUCGCGCUUGCUUUCGAAAAAAGGCACCUGCGUAGGCUCUGUGCCCCUUCCGCACAAUGCGGUGGAAAUUAUGCGUGCAAUAAUCGCCCUUUUCGUGGAACACACAUUGCAAUCGCAAUGGUACGAUUAGUUGAAGAUUCUUAGACCGUUGGGUGGCAAGAACUUAGCAUUGUCCAAGCACACGCCGUAGAAUGUCGUGAUGUCAUUUCUCUCUAAACUUUGUCAUCUUUUUUUUUUCUUUGCAUCAAUGUUGAUUUUAUUCAUCUUAUGAAAAUACUUAGGUGCACAUCUCUGUUUUAUAUCAUAUCAACACUCGAUUACGGUAAUACAUCGUAAAGUCAUAAAAAAAAUUAUUUUACAUUAUAUUCUUGUCCUUAAUUAUUAUGAUGUGUCAUAAGUAAUGUUAUAGUAAAGAUGUACCAUUUAUUCCUAUAUCUUUCAUACUUUGCAACAAUCUAAUGGCUUGGAACACAACAAUUUUAUUAUGCUCAAUUUGACGGUUAACACCGAGAAAGUUUUGAUUGAACAACUAACAAAAUAAAUCAGAAAUGGAUGAUAAGGGAUAUGGCAUGAUCGACGUGUGCCUUCCCCAUAGGUUUUAGAGGCCCUAGAAUCGGUAUUUCUCUUUCUUUUUUCUAAAUUUGUGUUCACGUGCAUCACGACUCCGAUGGCAUGAAAAGAAAAGCAAUCAACAGCAUGACUUUCAGUGCACAAUAGUUCCUUAUUUUUUGGUAAAAAAAAAAUCUUAUUAAUCUCAACCGUUAAAAAAGUAAAGUUGACAUGAGAUCCACAUAAUUGGAUCUUGCAAAUGAGUACUCAAGAGCACUGUUUACUUAUAUACAAUACAAGAAUCUUUUUUAUUUUUGGUAUACUAAUUAGACAUAUUUAGUAUUAUCAUGCACGCUCAUGCCUUUAGACUACAAGAAAAAUCAACGUCAUUCAUGGCUAAUUAUUUCCAAGUUGUCUUUGCUGUUACAGUUCCAGCACCACAAAAUUGCCUUAUGAUUUCUUCCUUGGGAAGGGUCCUUUCGUACACAGAGAAAAGAGCACUUUUUGUCCAAUAACACGGAAUUGCUAUAUACGGAAUUAGUCUCGCGGAUUCCGAAAGGAAAUUUUUUUUUCAUCUCUUUUUAUUUGGAAGUGUUCUCGAAAAUGAGACAAAAUAAUUUAUAUCCCUUUUGAGAAACAAUUAUCAGAUGGUGUGGAGAUCCCGUUGACUAAAAAUUUCUGAACGUGACACCAAUAUAUAAACCCACGAUUCCACCCACUUGGGAGGAGCUCACUAUAAUGACCUGUGAGUCCAUGAAAAGGAAAAAGAAAGUCGAUGGGAUCACCCCGUGUAUGUAAUGAGAUGGAAUUAACAUAAUGCUAUACAAGCAAAGUCUUCGUAAUCGUCUAACUAGCAAAACAUCUCACAUUUACUAACAAUCCAUUAUCAGUUACCUGGAUAAUGCAAUAUUCACAUACAAUAGAUUACGCGAUCAUUGUUGAUAUAUUAAAUGUCCGAAUAUGCUUGUAACUCCAUCCGAAUUGGGAUAAAAAGUCUUACCCAAUUCCAAUCUUCCAUAAAACGUGUGCAUAUAAUUUUGGAUAAAAGUUAUCAAAAACCCAAAACUUUACUUACCGUAAUAUAUUUACCAAAAACUUCUUUUAUGACAUAAAAAACUCAAAACUUGUAUCGAUGUAACACAUUUACCUCAAACUUAUACAGUGUGACACAUUUACUCCCAAAAAUUUAUAUAUGUAUAACAUAUUUAUCCCAAAAAUUUAGUGUCCUAAAAAAAACUAGGAUUUUUGGUAUUAUAAAAAAAAUUAAGGAUAAAUAUAUCACACAGAUAAAAGUUUCUGAUUUUUUGUAUCACAAAAAAAAAAUUGGGAUAAAAACGUUACAGUAAGCAAAAAUUUAGGAUUUUUUAUGUCAUUAAAAUAUUAUAUGAUAAAUGUGUCACUCUAAGCAAAAUUUGAGAUUUCUUGUAGUUAUUUUACAAUAAUCUUCAGCUCGCUGGUUUUCUUUUUAACUUUCCAUUUAUUUGGAGGAGCAAGUCGAGUCAAGGAGCACAUGCAUAGGUUGAAUGCACCUUCUGCAUAUUGCUGCGGCAAUUACCCCACAAUAAUUGCCCUUCGCUUUUAUUUUCUAAUUAUUUUAUUGAUAGAAAAAGCAAGUUAAGUCGAAGUCAAGUCGCGCUCGCUUUCUAACAAAACGCCUGCGUAGGCUCUACGCACCUUCCGCGUGGCAGUGGCUCAAUUAGUUGAAGAUUUUUGGACUGUGGGAUGGCAAGAACUUAGCAUCGUUCAAGCACGCACAGCAUUGUUGCGAUGUCAUUUUUUUCUAAACUUUUUAUCACUAGAAUGUGUUUGAUGUCGACUAGUGUGGACAUCAAUGUCUUUUGGCAUGUAUGUGGAUAAUAUGGUGAGAAGCUUGAAAUAUUGAUGAUGAUGUAUAUCUUCGACAACUCUUAUCAAAUUUCAUAUUUACUGGAAAUUCUCUUUACAUAGUCUCUUCCCAUUUUCAAAUUACUAUUGGUGCUUCCAAGUAGCAAUUUCAGAUUAUUUCUUUGUCUAAUUGUUUUCGCUUUUAUCUUUUGGCUAGCGAAGUAUAGAAACCAUCACAUAUUUCUUAUUAAUCUCAAUAUUUGAUUGAUUUCAUCAAACAUAUGCUGUUUGAAAUCCUUUUUCCUUAUGGAGGAAGAUAUGGAGGGUUUGAAUAUCAUGUCGCAUAAUGAAAUGGAAAAGAAUGACUCCUACGAAAACCAUAAAAUAAUUCUUGAACUUUAAUUCGUUUCAUGGAACCUAUUUGAAUGGAACCAUAAAAAUAUUAUUCACUUCUUAAGCUUUCGAUUAUGCUUUUAUGUAGAUCUCCAAGUCUAGUAAGUAUCAGAUGUAUGGCAAACCCUCAUGGAAGUAUGAGAAACAACUUAAUGGAAAGUCAUCAUCUCUUCUCCACUCGAAAGCUGAUUACAUCAUUGAUGUCGGUGUGCAGAGCUUUGGAUACUUCAUUUCUUUUCAAGUUUUGGAAACUAAGUAUACAAAAAGGCUCAUGUUGAAUAUGACAGUCCAAAAUUUACAUCAACCCAAAUAAUAUAAAAGAGAAUAUGAUAAUAUGAAUUAAUUGAUUAGGAAAAUUAUGUUUAAUCUGUUCUCCAAUUUUACACUUGAGUUGAUGGAAGAGUCAUAUCGAGAAAUAUAUUUCUAAUUAAGUCGAAUUUGAGAAAGCCCAUUCAUCAUCCGACUUACUAGCAAUAAGUGACUCUAUAUUUUGUUAUUAGGAUUGGUAGAUCAUCGCCAAGCCAGAGAAGAGAACACGUGGGUUCAACGACAUUGUAGAUUGAUUUGCAUGUCUCAUAGUCAUUAGUUGGAGUUAAAGUGGUCUAUAAAAUGCAUGUGUUGGAAUUCGAAAAGUACACUUGUAAGAUUGAACUUGGUGGAGACAAUGUCAAAGGCAUUCAUGAAAAAAAUUUGGGUUGAACAGACCAAAUUAAUUUAGAUAUGUGUAGUAUAAGUUUCAUCGUAUUGAUACAUUUCGGAAAUUGGUUAUUUGGAUCUUGAGGAGAAAUUUCAAUGGCAUCCACUUACUGCUCGACACCUAUAGAUGGACAUAAGCGAUCGCCAACACAUUUUCAAGGGUUUCCUUUUCCACAUUUUUUCAAAUUUCUGCACCUUUUUUUAAAAAAAAAAUCGGCCAAUGAACGAAAAAUAGGGGGGACAUUAGGAAUUCAAAGAUGUCAGCGUCGGUAUUUGGUGUCAAAUAUUUAUCUUAUUCAAUACUGCUUGAGUUUAGACAGUACACUAGUAGAUAAGUACUACACGACUCAUAUUGACAUGACACGAGUUAAAAGCCGUGAAGAUAUAAGCGAAACAUUAGCAAAGCUGACAAUAUUUUAUCUAGCAAGGCUCGGGUGGAGUUGCCUAGCACAACAAUGGAAGAACCAGGAUUGGGAUGUUGAGCAUCUAAUCGAUGUUGGCACUUGAUAUAACUCUUGUUUAUUGUUGAUACUACUAAUUAUCCAUCCAAUCAUAAUCCUAAAUAUGGACUAUGCAUUUCAGGCAUUCUGUACAUCUCCAAUUAAAGGAAUCUAUUUGGACCUUGUCAUAGGACAUGUGACUGUGAUUGUACAGUAUAACUUUGUGCAGCAAGGGUUUUCUGGUGUGUUGAAACUUCAAAUCACAUGAUCAUGUGAUACAAUGUUCCAUCAUAAUCUAUUAAUGUAUUAGCUUUUGAUCCUAGAAUAAUGAGGUGUGGUUAGUCAAUUGCGUACUAAGCCGUUGAGCCUUUCUGUUUCAUCUUAUCAAGGCAAGAGGAGAAUUUUUGUAGCUUUGAGUAAUGAAGUGAGUAUCUGCUCUUACCUUGGUAGGUUUUAUAAGCUAAGCUGGUUUUCAAAGUAGCAAAAAGAGCAAAAUAUAUACCUAUAAUAUACCAAGUGUCAAGGUAAUCACAAGAUGGUCUCGUGUUUAAUGCAGCCUCUAUCCAUUUAAUAGCUCAAUUUUUCAAAUCAUAUCUCCUAAUGUCAAAUAAGAUAAUAUUUGAAUCCUCUCUAUUGUGUUGCAAAAAAUUAUAAUUUGGUGAAGAACUCGUUGGCCAAGAAUGUUAAACAUGAAAUAAAAAAGUCUGACAAAAGAUGACAUAAAAAGGAAAAAAGCAUCACCGAAUAAUUAUUCAAUUGCUGAGAACCAUUGGCUGGUAAUUUAUUAACACUUCAUCGAAAAAAUAAAAUAUAUGUAAAAUGUUAAAAAAUAAUUACCUUAAGGAGAGAGAUAAAAGUGAGUCAGGCGGAGGGUAAUGACUAAUAAUCUUUAAACAUGAUGUAGCAUGGGAAAAUCUAGUCUUUCGUGGAAUGUGUGCACUAAUCUUCGGCCGACCUCACUCCGAGCAUCAGCAUUGCUCGUUGGUUUUCUUUUCAAUUCUUCAUUUACUUGGAAAAGCAAGUCAUGUCAAGGUGCAACUGCAUAGGUAGGUUCAACGCACCUUUCCCAUAAUGCUGCGGAAAUUACGCCUGCAAUGGUUGUCCUUUGCUUUUUAUUUUCUAGUUGUUUUAACAAUAGAAAAAUCAAUCAAGUUGAAGUCCUGCUUACUUGAGAUAAAAAGCGCCUGCAUAGGCUCUACGCCCCUUCCGCGCAAUGCCGUGGAAAUUAUGCAUGCAAUAAUUAUGCUUUUUGUGCAGCAUGCAUCGCAAUCGCAACGGUUCGAUUAGUUGAAGAUUCUUGGACGGUUGGAUGGCAAGAACUCAGCAUUGUUCAAGCACGCGCAGUGGAGAGCGUUGUGGUGUCAUUUCUCUAACUCGCUGUCGCCGGAUGUGUUCGAUGUUGACUAGUUUUGACAUUUCUCUCAACUUUUGGCAUGCGAGUAAUACAGUGAGAAGCUCGAAAUAUUGAGGAUGAUGUGUUUCUUCCACAGCUCUUAUCAAAUUUCAGAUUUGCCGGAACUUCUCAGUACAUGUUCUCUUCCCAUUUUCGAUUUACUAUUGGUGCUUCCAAGCGGCAACUUAAGAUGAUUUCUUUGUCCAAUUUGUUUUCGUUUUUAUCUUCUAGCUGGUGAAGCAUAGAAACCAUCACAUAUUUCUUAUGAAUCUCAACAUUUGAUUGACUUCAUCAAUCAUUUGUUGUUUGAAAUUCCUUUACCUUAUGGAGGAAGACGUGAAGGGUUUGAAUAGCUAUCAUAGAGUGAAAUGGGAAAAGAGUGACUCCUAUGAAAGCCAUCAUGUAAUUCUCAAACUUUGAUUCGUUUCAUGGAACAUGUUUGAAUGGAACAACAAAAAUAUGGUUCACUCAUUAAGUUUUCAAUUACGCUUUUAUGGAGAUUUCCAAGUCUAGUAAAUAUCAGAUGUAUCGUAGACCCUCGUGGAAAUAUGAGAAGCAACUUGAGUGAAAAUUCAUCAUCUCUUCUUCACUCCAAAAGGUGAUUACUUCAUUGAUAUCAAUGUGUAGAGUUUUGGAUACUCCAUUUCUUUUCAUGUUUUGCAAAUUAAGUGUACAAAAAGGCUUAUGUUGAAUAUGAUAGUCUGAAAUUUACAUAAACUCGAAUGAUAUAAAAGAGGAUAUGCACAAAUAUGAAUUAGUUGAUUAGGAACGCCAUGCGGGAUAUGUCUUCAAUUAUACACUUGUGUUGAUAGAAUGUUUGUACCUAUGAGUAAAGAAGUGAGUACAUGGUGUUAGGAGGUUUUAUAAGCUAAGCUGGUUGUCAAAACAGCAAAAGUAAGCUAAUAGUAUAUAGCUACAAUACACUAGGUGUGAACGUAAUCACUCCUUAGUGUCGUGUUUAAUGCAAUUCCUCUCCAUUUAAUAGCUUCAAUUUUUCAAAUCACAUCUUGUAAUGCUAAAUAAGUUGAUAUUGAAUCCUCCUCUAUUGUGCUACGAAAAAUUAUAUUUUGGUGAAGAACCCAUUGGCCGAGAAUGUUGACAUGAAAUUAAACGUCUGACAAAAGAUAACAUAAAAGGGAAAAAAAAGUAUCACUGAAUUAUUAUUCGACUACGGAGAAUUAUUGGCUGAGAAUUUAUUAACGUGACACUAGAAGAAUAAUUUUUUAUGUAAAAUGUUAAAAACUAUUAAUUUAAGGGGAGAGAUAAAAGUGGCUUGGGCAGAGGAUAUCCACUUGAUAAUUUUUAAGCAAAAAGUAGUAUGGAGAAAUACAGUUUAAGGAAAUUAUUUUGAAAAAGAUUUAUUUUGGAGUUACUUUCUAGACGAAUAAAAAAAGGUAAUGCGUCAUGCCGACUUUUAAUAACAAAAUCCUCUAUAACCCCCGAUUUAUAUGCUCUUGUCAUGGGCUCAUGUACAUUAGCAGCAUAUAAGAGAAUGAAAGCAAGUCAAGACAGUGAUGGAUCUCUCCAGUUCCAUUGAAAGCACGUAGAUAUGUUCCAAGUACCUUCCCCGUAAUAUGCUGAGAAUCGGUGGAGAUCACGGCAGAAGCAUGUGAGUAUUGCUCGUCGGUUCACUUUUCUACUUUUUCUUAGUUAUAUAAAAAGCAAGUCAAGUCAUGAUGCUGCCGAGGAUUGCGUGUCUCCAAGUCAUGAUGCUGCUUCGACCCACAAAACGAAGUCAUGAAGCUGCGGAAACUGCGCGUGCAAUGAUUGUUCUCUCUGUGGCAUGCCUCACAGCAUUUCGAUUGGCAUGAAGAGUCCUGGACCACUGGAUGGCAAGAACUCAGACAUCAUUUGAGCAUGCAUAUUAGAGAAUGUUGCGUAUUCGUAAUCCGACUUCAAAGGCUAAAAAUCGGUGGAGAUCCCAGGGUUCUGCUGUUUGAGCAUUCCUCUAGUAAUCAACGACGCCUUCUUCUUUUUCUGUUUUCUGUUCUGAUUGCUCCAUUAUCUUCUGAUGAUUUGUCUGAGAGUUUCUAUUUCUGUUUGAAUGUAGCUUCGUGUUUGGCCACUCUGAGACAUUUCUGCUAGUCCUAGAUCUGGGAUUUUGCAUCUCUCCCCUGUUUCCUCCUCUAUCAAUCUCUUUUACGAUCCUUUCAAGAUGGAAAGAAGAAAAUUCACACAUUCAGAAGAUUCGAUGUACGAGGUGUCUUCCUCGUCGACGACCCCACAUGUAGGUGAUUAUGAAGGCGGAACCAGAAGGUUGAAAGGAAAUGAUUACGAAGUGUUUUUGAGCUUUAGAGGGGAAGCCACUCGCAAAGGUUUCACUGAUUAUCUCUAUACUAGCCUUGUCGAGAAAGGAAUUCAUGUGUUUAGAGACGACAAUGAGCUUCGUGUUGGUGAGAAGAUUGGUCCGGAGCUUCUUUGCAGCAUUAUGCAGUCCACGAUUUUGAUCCUGAUUAUCUCCGAGAACUAUGCUUUUAGCAAAUGGUGUCUUCGCAAGCUGGCUCAAAUGUUGAAGUGCAAGAGAAGCAGAGGGCAAAUAGUGUGGCCCAUCUUUUACAAAGUGAAACCCUUGCAAGUGCGCCAUCUUAAAGGGAGAUUCGAAGAUGCUAUCAAAGCACAUAAAGAGAAUAGGAACGAAAUGGUUUUGAGGGAAUGGAAAAAAGUGCUCAAAGAAGUGAAGGAAUGGGAAGAAGCGCUCAAAGAAGUUGGUUCUUUGAAAGGAUGGGAAUCGGAGAACAUUGAUAAUGGGUACACUAUUCUUUACCAAAUCAUUGUUUAAUUUCUCAUAAAUAAAUCUUUCGUGAAAAAGAACAUAAAUGCGGUCGUCCUAUACUGAAAUUAAUUGUUAUUGCGGUAGGCAUGAAGGAGCAUUUGUUAAAACUAUUGUCACAAACGUUAUGGGCGAGUUAAAAAGACUUUUUCUGCUAAAUGUUCCCAAGCAGUUGGUGGGAAUUGAUGAUCGUAUCAAUGACAUUAUGAGCUCGAUAGAUGAUAAAUUAUAUGACACGAAUAUUAUUGGACUUUAUGGAAUGGGCGGCAUCGGUAAGACGACUCUUGGAAAGGUGUUAUACAAUAAGCUCUCUAGUCAUUUUGAGUAUCGUAGUUUUGUGGAAAAUAUUCGAGAAACAUAUCAGCGCCAUGGUAUUGAAUGCAUACUGAACAAACUCAUUUAUGAUGUAAUACGAAGUUCAGGUCAUGUGUCUAGUGUUGACGAGGGAAUAGGUGUAAUCAAAUCUCGAUUUACAAGUAAGAAAGUUUUAUUUCUACUUGAUGAUAUGGAUGAUAGUACUACUCACUUGAAUGCUUUGGUCAAAGACCGUAGUUGGCUUGGAGUAGGAAGUAUAGUCAUCAUUACAACCAAAAACAAGAGCAUUCUCGAUGAGGCUAAGGCAUGCUACAGAUACCCACUUAAUGAGUUGUCUAUGGAUCAACAAUUGAUUUUAUUUAGUAGACAUGCAUUUCAAAAAGAUUAUCCUCGGAGUGAUUAUGAGGUUCUUUCUCGUGAUGUCAUAUCUACUACCGGGGGGCUUCCAUUAGCUCUUGAAGUUACUGGUUCAUUCUUAUGUGGAAAGAGGAGAAGUAUGGAAAGAUACAUCAAAAAAAAAUUAGAAAAAAUACCUGAUAAGAAAGUGCAAGAGACAUUGAAGAUAAGUUACAAAGCAUUAGAACAUGAGGAAAAACAAAUAUUUUUGGAUAUUGCUUGCUUUUUCAUUGGAUCAUCAAAACAAAAUCCAACUUACAUGUGGGAUGCUUGUGGUUUAUUUCCGAAGAGGGGGAUUGAAGUGUUGAGUCUUAUGUCCCUAAUUAAAAUUAACGGAGGUGGUAAGCUAAUGAUGAUGAUCAAUUGAGAGAUCUUGGAAGGGAAAUUGUUUGUCUAGAAAAUCCAAAUGAGCCUCAAGAGCAUAGUAGAUUGUGGAUCUAUGAGGAAGCCCUAGAUGUGCUUGAUAACAAUGAGGUAAGAGUUUUCUUUACUUGUCUUAGUCGGUGAAUGUGGGUACAUCUUCCCUUUCUUGUUUGAAAUAAAAAUAACUGUCACUCUGAGUCCCCAAAACUUGUUGCAUCUACUAGCAAAGGAGCUCUUUUGAUUAAUUGCAGUAUUUGCCUGAUUCAAGAUCAUAAUUGAGAAGCAAUUUCUUGGUUAUGGACGAUUGUUAUAUAUCUUUACAUGGUAGUAUCGUGAUGAGGAUACUCUCCUUUUGGUAACUUCAAUGCAAAAACAAGACUACAAAAGCAUAAUGUGUGACAGCCUUUCUCAUACUCAACUCACAAGGAUCUUUAGAGAGAGAAACUCUAGAGAGAGAAGCUCUGGAUUGUAUUACUUGUGAAUGAGAUGAGUACAAUGAGGGGGAGGAGACUCUUAUAUAUACAAAUACAAGGCAAACCGUAUCCAUAGAUCUCUCCUCGAUCUAAUGAAGGAGAUUGGAUUUCCCCAACUACCAACUACCCGCAUUUAUUACAUACGAAUACAAUUACUGUAUCGCCCGCCCCCAAGAGUAUUCUAGAAGACUCGAGAAACCUUAGGACUCGGGGAUACAAGCCAAGGGUCGCUUGAUCCACGGAUGUGUCACAGCCAUCCCUUAGAACCCUCUUAGAUCGGCCUUCUUUCGAGCCAUGACAAUGACAUGAAGGAUUUCAUGACUUAGGCAAGUUUGGUUUCACGUACUUAGUAUGUCAUAAGUCCAUGACAAGAACCCACCUUCCCCAUUUUGGUUGUGUUUUAUUUAAUGAAUAAAGGCUGUUGUAAUUUCUUAUAUUGGUCAAUCACAUAAAGCCAUAUUUUAAUAAUUUGGUGUUGUCUGCUUGCUCCUAUUUGAAUUUUCCCCUUCUAGAAGGACUCAAAUGCAACACUUUUGAGUUUUGCCAUUUUGCACAAACCAACCCAAAUAUGCAAAAAAGGCAAAUUCCCUGUUCAUAUUGCCAAUCUAUAUGUAUACAAUAUUCCUGCAGUUAGAGGAAUGUAUUAUAAUCUGAGUUAGUUAGCAUAUAUUCAGAAUUUAAUCCUUAUUUGGGUAAACAGUCUUAUGCGAAGAAAGCAAGACCGCCCUAUAUUUCAUCCUUCCAUAUAUAUAUACUUUGAUUUUCCGAGAUAUUGCCUUAAUGCUUUACUUUGGAAGGAGGGGAAGAGGAGGAAAAUGAAGUAAAUUCUCGUAACUUUUGUGAGAAGAAGUGGGAGGAAAAUUCAAAAAAUUUCUAUCUUCCUUUCCUCCAUGUAUCCAAGCAAAGCAACUUUUCCUUUUAUAACGACGGUGCAUGCUUGCUAAAUAGACCACAAGCAUAGGGAAAUUUAUGCGUUGUUGCUAGCAUAGGGGUCAUCAUCAAUUGGAAUCAACUAAACUUUAAUUUCAUUCAUCAAAUGCAUGGAACUACAAUUUACUUCCUGUUGGGAUAAACGAAUUCCCUAAAACCAAUCCGAAACUCAAUCAAACCCCUAAAACAACGAAUGCGGAAGGCGAGCCCAGGAAGCACAUGUAUCACCGAUCAAAAAGUACAUUACAAAAUCGAACGUACCUUGUCUUUCACAAAUUAAACACCAAUGUUGAAGUUCGAGGAAGAAUCCCGAUCUUGUUCUACUGAGGAGUGUACUGUUCUUUCCAGGGGGAGAAAUUUCUGUUUGAGAGCAUACUGUUCUUUCGUUUGGGGAAGAGAGCGUCUUCUGAAAAUGUACGUACGUAAAAGUACGUUCUUUUUUUUUUUUCUAUCUCUUAAAAUGCCUCCAAAAGACGUAGCCUCUCAACGUAAAAUGACUCUUCCAAAAGACAUAAUCCCUCAAUGUAUCCUUUCAUAUCUCAACCCUUCCUCCAUGGGCCCUUAACUUGUGGGCCAGGUUUUUAGGCCCAACAUGGGCGGACGGGCCUUCUUAGGCCCAUCAACACAUAGAAAAAAGCCCAUCAUCUCUCACUCACACAUGGUGGCCGAACAUGAUCCUCUUUAUCUCUUUGCAACAUUCAUACUGAUGAAUAAUCUGUGCCACCAGCAUGCUUUGAGAGCUCGUUGCCAUACAUCUAUUAGGAAUAUAUAGCAGCUCAUAAUGGGCAUCACACUCUGAGUAGAUUUAGUAUGCAGUACCCUAGAUCGAUCGAUCACAUUUAUAUCUCUCUUGAUCUAUUUUAAACAUAUAUAUAUAUAUAUACACAUAUUGUAUUCACAAUUAUGAUUAUCUCUAAAACAAUCAUAAUUGGUCGACCAGUGAAUACAAAACUAGAAUGUGAUUCUCCAAAUUCGAUCUUCUUAUUUCCUUCAAACUCUCAAUUUCAGUUCAGCUUACUUUUCUAGAAAUGUCCCAUUAGAUCAAAUUAAUGCAUGAUCAUUGGCAACAUCCUAAGAUAGCAAAUACUAAAUAGAAGUCUUGAGAACAAGUAAGAGUUAUGAGAGAACUAAAUUGAUGAACUCUUUUCCUCAAGAGUCUCAUACGGUAUAAAAGUUGAGAUCAAACUUUUGCCACUCUUAUUGGUCGUCUCAUGUAUACGUAGUAUGAAAUACAUAUUACGGUAUUAACUCAUUUCCCAUGGAGUGUAUGUCUACACCAUUAAUACCGUACAGAUGAUAGUUCAGACAUACCUAAUGUCUAACUUGAGUUCACAUAUCUACUCAUUCACAUAAUUCAUCAAAACUCACAUCUGGCAUCAUAGACAGAUAAAGUAAAAUAUGUGGGUUAUUUUACUUUCGGACAUAGUAAAUAUUAUGUUCUCAUAUUAAUACUCAGUUAAUGUAACAUAUAUAUUUUAAACUUUAGCUCUCGAUUAUCACCUAGAUAAUAAGCUUAAAAACUGUCUUAUCUCUAUUUAUCACAUACCUAAUGUCUAACUUGAGUUCACAUAUCUACUCAUUCACAGAAUUCAUCAAAACUCACAUCUGGCAUCAUAGACAGAUAAAGUAAAAUAUGUGAGUUAUUUUACUUUUGGACAUAAUAAAUAUUAUGUUCUCAUCUUAAUACUCAGUUAAUGUAACAUAUAUAUUUUAAACUUUAGCUCUCGAUUAUCACAUAGAUAAUAAGCUUAAAAACCGUCUCAUCUUUAUUUAUCACAUAGUAAAUAAAAGGCGAUUACCCAUGUGAGUGGGCUAAUCUUUUAUAUGUCCGACAUACUUUCUUAACUUUAUAUAAUGCACUGAGCACUAAGAUGCAUAAAGGUCAAACAAAGAUUCAUAAGCAUUAAUAAUUAAAAACACAAAUUCAUUACAUGUGAACACUUCAGGGAAAUUACAAUAUUCAAUACAUCAGCCUCUACGGGUGCGUUUGGAUGGGCAUUUAGAAAGCCCAUUCAGCCCCCAAAGCCCUUUCAGCCAAAAUAAGGGUGUUUGGCAACCAAUCUCAAGGAGCUUUCAAAUGAAAGUCAAUCCUUGGAAAUGCUGAAAACAUUUUUUUUCUUCCUAAACUACCCUCAUUAAUUUUUCAUAUUUCCGUUAUUACCCCUGUAUUUAUUUAUUUUUUAAAUGAAAAAGGAGCAGCCCUUCGCCAGACCGGCGAAGGGCGACGGCCACUGGCGAGGGUCGGGCGACCUCCGGCGGCCCUCGGCUGCGCGACCCUCGCCGUAGGUCGCCCGACCUCGGGCGACCUCAGCCGACGGCCGCCAGCGGCCGCAGCCCUUUGCCGGUCUGGCGAAGGGUUUAGCUGAAUUUUCAAAAAAAUAAAAAUAAAAAUAAUACCCAUCAAAGCCCCUUGCGAAAGUUUUUUUUACCAAACGCAUAUUUAGCUCAAAGUCCAUUUGCAAAUUUUUUUUACCAAACACAACUGCAUUUUCCCCAAGUAACUUUAGGCUUUCAGCAUUUGCAUUGGACUCAAAGCCCAUUGCAAAUGCUGAACCAAACGCAGCCUAUGCAGUCCUAAAGAUUUUAGAUGACUACAAAACACAUCUCUAUGUAUUGGCUUUAUCAUAGGAUCUAUUACCAUUCCAUGCGUAGAUAUGUACUGUAAGUUUACAUCUUUUCGUGCAACCAUAUCUUUGACAAAAUUAUACUUUGUAUCUAUAUAUUUGGUCUUGCCGUGAUAUUUGGGAUAUUUGGUGUACGCUAUAGCUGCUUAGCUAUCACAGUUAACCAAUAAUGGAUUUGUAACAUACCUAAUAAUACCUAAAUGAUUCAAAAAUCUCUUAAGCUAGACAUAUUCUUGUACUGCUGCUGAUAAUGCCAUGAACUCAGCUUCCAUCGUGGACAAGGCUAUACACAUUUGUUUCUUACUGCUCCAAGAUAUGGCGCCAUUAUUCAGUAAGAAAGCAAAUCCAAAGGUAGAUUUCCUUUCAUAUAAAUCUCAUCCCCAAUCAGCAUAUGAAUAGCCUUCAAGUUACAGAUCAUUUCCUUAGUAGCUCAACGUAUAAUCAGCAGUUCCCUUCAGAUAGCUCAGUAUUCUUUCAACGGCUUUCCAAUGUGCUUGACCUAGAUUGGGUUGAUAUCUAUUCACUAUUCCAACUGCAAAACAUAUGUCAGGUCUUGUACACAUCAUAGCAUACAUUAAGCUUCUAACAACACUAGCAUAAGGAACAUGUUGCAUUUGUUCCUUCUCUUGUGGAGUCUUUGAACACAGUCUAUGGCUCAAUCCUUUACCUUUUGCAAUAGGAGUAUCUAUUGGUUUACAAUUUUGCACACGAAAUCGUUCAAGAACUUUAUUUAUGUAUGUUUCUUGCGAAAGAGAUAAUGACCUCAUUGAACGAUCUAUUGAAAUCUUAACUCCAAGAAUGUAUGCAGCCUUACCUAUAUCUUUCAUCUCAAAGUUGGAAGAUAACCAACUCUUGACAGUAUUAACAAACUCCAUAUUACUUCCGGCAAUUAAUAUAUCAUCAACAUAUAAUGAUAUGAUCACAAAUUGAUAUUUAGAUCUUUUGAUAUAUACACAAUGAUCCUCAUCAAUCAUUGUAAAAGCAUAUGCCAUUAUGGCAUUAUGAAAACGUAUAUAUCAUUGUCUCGACGACUGCUUAAGGCCAUAUAUCGAUCUCAAAAGUCGACAUACAUUUUCUUCUUAGCCUUCCAUAAUGAAACCAGUAGGUUAUUUCAUAUAUAUUUCUUUCUCUAAUUCUCCAUUGAGGAAAGCAGUCUUUACAUUCAUUUGAUAUAACUUAAGAUCCAUACUAACUACUAUUGCUAAAAUAAUGCAAAUCGAUAUAAAUCUCACUACAGGAGAAAAUGUUUUCUCAUAAUCAAUUCCUUCCUGUUGAUUGUACCCAUUUGCCACAAGACGAGCUUUAUAUCUUUCUAUUGAGCCAUCAGUUUUACGCUUUAUUUUGAAAACCCACUUGUUCCUAAUGGCUUUGCAUCCUUUUGGAAGAUCAACUAGUUCCCAAACAUGGUUUGACUUCAUUAACUCCAUCUCCUCUUCCAUUGCAUGCAUCCAUUUUCCCUUACUAAGGCAAUUUAAAACCUCAUUAACAUUUCUGGGCUCAUCUUCAUCUUGUGGAGCAACCAAAAAAGUUUCCCUUUCAAUGUCAAAACGUCGACGGGAAAUACUUUUGCGACUUGUUCGCUGUACGAGAGAUUGUACACUUUGCACAUCAUUCCCCAUUAUGCUCCCACUCGGAUUAGAUAAUGACGAUAUCAUCUCAUCAUGUGGUUGUAAUUGAGAGUGAGUUGAAUUAAAUUCAUCACUUCUUAUGUUACUCCCAUUGGACGAACUCCUCUAAAUUCAUUAUCUGGAUCCAAGGUUUCAAAUAGGGAGUAAUUAUCACAUAUUUCACCAUUCUUAGGAAAUUAAUUCUCUAAGAACGUGGCAUCACGUGAUUCGAAUUUAGUUAUACUUCCACUUUCCUGCUCACCUAUAAACACAUACCCUUUCGAGUGUUCAGAGUAUCUUAUGAAAAUACUCUUCUUUCAUCUGGGACCUAAGUUCCCAAACUUGUAAGAUGGCUCAUGAGUAGAGGCAACACAACCCCAUGGUUUAAGAAAACUUAAGUCCGGUUUUCUACCUGUUCAUAACUCAUAUAGAGUGAAAGUAACUGAUUUGGAAGACCCCUAGUUAAGUAUAUAGGCAACAGUUAAUAACACAUCACUCCAAAAAGUGAUAGGUAAGUUAGCACGUGCCAUCAUGGACCUAACCAUUUCUAGUAGGUUUUGUUCCUUCUCUUCAUAAUACCAUUUUAUUGAGAAGUAUAUGGAAUAGACAACUGUCAUUCUAUUCCUUUUUCAUCACAUAAUUUUCUGAACUCAUCAGAUAAAUAUUCUUGACCUCGAUUGGAUCUCAAUACUUUUAUUUUCUUGUCUACUUGAUUUUCUACCAAGUUCAUAAAUCUUUUGAAACAACUCAAUGCCUCAGAUUUAUGAGAAAUCAAGUAGACAUAUUCGAAUCGAAUAUAAUCAUCUAUAAAUGUGAUGAAAUAAACAGCUCCAUGUCUUCCUCUCAUAGUCAUUGGACUACAGACGUUAGAAUGGAUUAAAUACAAAGGAAAUUAAGCUCUUUUACCUUUUCCAAAUGGUUUCCUUGUCAUUUUCCCUACUAAGCAAUACUCACAUAUGGGCAAAUUUACAUUUUCAAUGUUGCCCAACAAGCCCUCUUUGGCUAGCCUAUUCAUACGUUGUUGGCCAAUAUGAUCAAGUCUAGCAUGCCACACAUUCACAUCAUUAUCAUAUAAAUUAGGAGACGUGAAAGGGAAUAACAAACUUUGAAAUUACCAUAGUCAACAUUUAAUACAAUAAAACCAUCUAGAAAAUAACCACAAUCAUAGUAAUUUGUAUCCAAAUACAAAUCCACACCAUUAUUAUGGAAGUUCAUAUUAAAACCAAGCUUAACUAACACUAAAACAGACACUAAAUUCCGACGAAUCUCCGAAGUAUACAAUACAUCAUGUAGGAACAAAGUGCGUCCACCACGCAUGUUCAAUUGACAGGUGUUAAUCCCUUUUACAUCGGCUCUGGAGUUAUUUCCUACAUAUAUCAACUUAGUUUCAGUUGAUACUUGUCAGAAUUCCAUGAAGGAUUUUCUAUCAUUCGCUACAUGGUCUGUUGUUCUUGAAUCUACAGUCCACAAAGGAUUAAACUUAGUUAAGAAUACAAAACCUGACACAUAAGCAAAGUUCUCAAAAGUACAAGGGGUGUAUACCUUCUUUGGCUCGCGACAGUCGCGAGCAUAGUGACCCUUCUUGUUACAAUUAUAACACUUCACCCUUGACAACUUUUUCAUUCGAGGACGAUUUCCUCUUUCAUGUUGGUCAACUUUUGGUUUCUUCCCUGAAGAACUUGCUCCCUUGCCUUUCCACCUAUUGAACCAAUCAAGAUGUUUGCACUUGGAGCUCGAAGCUCCAUGUGAGCUGGAACCAGCAUGAUAAAUUUCAGUUUCCGGUUUAGCUACCAAGAGGCGGUCAUCUUCCAACUCAAGAUGAUACAUUGCAUUCUCAAAGGUUUUGAUAUUCUUAUUGUGGGUCAGGUGCACCUUCAUAUGCUCCCAACUCUAAGGCAAUGAACGAAUCACUACUUGCACUUGCUGCUCGUUAGUCAGGAUAUGGCUAGCAUCUUUCAGCUCAUUAAUCAUGUUUGACAUCUUUCUUAGGUGUUGCUUCAUGGUUUGACCAUAAGACUUCUUGUAAGAGUCAAACCUAAUAGUGAGCUACCUCAGUCUGGUCAUCGAAGUAUGACUAAAUCUUGCUGCCAAUGCUUCCCACAUUUCCUUGGCAUUCUCAAAACGCCUGAACUCUCACAUGACAUCAUUCUCCAUGCUACUCAGCAAUGUAAUGCGAGCAAGGGAGUUCUUUCUCUUCCAUAAAGCAAAUGCAUCCUUAUCUCUCUUAUGUUGUGCAGUGUUUCCAUCUUCAGAUUCUUCCAUAGUCAAGUUAAGAGCUUCUAGUGCCUCUUGCUCUUCCAGCACAUAUUAGAUUUUCAUAUGCCAUAUUUCAUAGUUAUCGCCGUUAAGCUUCUCACCUUUGUUCAACUUAGCGACUAUGCUCUUUAUGGCUGAAGCCAUCGAUCUGAAUAUAUCAGACACAUAUGCACGAAUUAUUAAUGCCUAUCAUUUAUGCAUCCAUUUUGCACAAACCCAUCAUAUUAAUGAAUAAUUUCAAGUAACGUUUCAGAAUCAAAAUGUCACUAUGUUUUUAAUCAUCAUCUAAAAAUCCUGACUCAUAAUUAUUAUUAAUACAAUUUUCUAUGCAAAAUAAAUUCUUUGAAGCUACAAAAACUUCUAUGAACUACCCAUAACAGUUAAUAAUAAUAUAAGCAAAUGAUAUUGGACAUCCAAUAAAGAUAGAAUAAUAAUAUAUCCACAUAAUGCAACUAACAUAUUAGUUGCUACACCGACAUCAACUAGGUAGGAAAUAUUUACAUAAGAUGUCCAUAAAGCAUACUAAACAAAGACCACUUGAAACAUCUAACGCCAAGAUAACAUAUGAUUGGGAAAGAUUCUUUUUUGUUCAAUUUCUUGAGCUUUUCUUUUGUAAAUUCCUUAGGCAUUCUCGGCAGCCAUGGAGAAAUAGACGAAUAUCCCUUAGGAUUUCUCCUUCGCGCAUUCAUCCCCCACCAGAUCGAAGUCAUUCCUAGGGUCGUAGUCUUUGUGGCUUCAAUCCGAUAAUGUUCAUCUAUAAAAGCCAUUACAAGCCUCCUAUACUUAGUAGCUCGAUUGACCUCCCAUAGGCGAUUCAACACUCCUUGCCAUAUCGGUGGAAGAGUGUUCUUGAAGAAUCGCACCAUCUCAGAAUGUGGCAUGGUUCCAUAUGACCUCUUGUAUUUUCCCAUUAACCUCGAGAACAUCAACCUAGAAAGCCUUUCUUUUUGUUCAUCUGUAGUUGCGCGAAUAGGUGUGCAUGCCUUACGGGGAAGCAUUGUUCCUGCAACAAAUGUAGAACAAAAAGGGAUUACAUAUAAUCCACAUAGGCUUAAUUGAAAAAGAAACGCAUUCCUUUUGGGGGGGUCAACGGUCAACGGUCAGCGGUCAACGGUCAGCGGUCAACAGUCAACGGUCAACGGUCAUACUAAUUUACCCUUCCGUUUUAGCAUGCAGCAACGUUAUUCUGGUGUCUCGCUUGCUUCACCUUCCCAUUACAUUUCCCUGACGAUUCCAUUUAUUAAUGGAAAGCAAGUCAAGUCAAGUCGUGCUGGAUCUCAAAUUUCAAUCAAAGCACCUCCGUAGGUUGCACGCACUUUCCACAUAAUGCUGACGAAAUUAGGCAUGCAAUAACUCGACAUCCGUCAAGUGGCCACGAUAGAAAAAGAAAGGACUAGAAGCAUCUUUAUUGCAAGCUGGUUGUGCACAAUAGAAAAAGUAAGGACAAGGACUAGGAGCAUCUUUAUUGCAAGUUGGUUUUCUUUUUUGCUUUUUUGCCCAAAGAAAAAAAAAGAAAAAAGCAAGUCAAGUCAAGUCAAGUCAAGAAGCCAUUGCAAAGGUCCCCGCAACUUCUGCAUAAUCCUACAAAUAUUACGAGUGCAAUGACCAUCAUUCUUUAAGCACCUAGUAGUCAAGAAUUAGCAUUGUUCAAGAAUGCAUAAUAGAGAGUUUGUGUGUUUGUAAUCCAACAUCGACAGCUGACGAUCGGUGUAGAUCCCGACAGUGGCUAGGUCAUGUCAUUUGAGCACUCCUAAGGUAAUCGAUGGCUUCAUGUACUUCUCUAUUUCCCACUUUGAGUGCUCUAUUUUCUUCUGAUGAGUCAUCUAAGAGUUUCUAUUUUUGUUUGAAUGUAGCUCCGAGUUUGAGUCUUGGGAGACAUUUUUGCUAUUCUCAAAUUUUUUUUGGUUAGUUGCUACUCUCAAAUUUGGGAUUCCAUAUAUUCUCUCUAUUUCCUUCUCCAUCAAUCUCUUUUACAAUCCUCUCAAGAUGAAAAAAAAAGAACCCUUUAAUUCAAAAGAUCUUAUCUAUGAGGCGUCUUCCUCAUCGACCUCUCCACAUGGAGGUGAUUAUGAAGGUGGAACCAAAAGGCCUAAGGGAAAUGAUUAUGAAGUGUUUUUGAGUUUUAGAGGGGAAGACACUCGAAAAGGCUUCACCGAUCAUCUCUAUCAUAACCUUAACCAUGCAGGAAUUUGUGUGUUUAGAGACAAUAAUGAGCUCCGUGUUGGUGAGGAGAUUGGUUCGGAGCUUCUUUGCAGUAUUAUAAAGUCUAAGAUCUCGAUCCCAAUUAUUUCGGAGAACUACGCCUCAAGUAAAUGGUGCCUUCACGAGCUAGUUGAGAUGUUGAAGUGCAAGAGAAGUAAAGGGCAGAUAGUGUUGCCCAUAUUUUACAAAGUGGAACCCUCACAAGUGCGACGUCCUUUAAGGAGAUUGAGAGAUGCUAUCAAUGCACAUAAAAAGAUUAUGGAUGAAAUGGUUGUGAAGGAAUGGGAAGAAGCACUUAAAGAAGUUAGCUUCUUGAAAGGAUGGGAAUCGGAGAAAAUUGAUAACGGGUACCUUAUUCUCCAACAAAACAUUGUUUAAUCUUUCAUAAAUAGAUAUUUCUUGAAAAAGAAUAUACAUAUUGCUAUCCGAUAUUGAUAUUCAUUGUUACUUGACAGGCACGAAGGAACAUUAGUGGAUAUUGUUGUCAAAAAAGUUAUGGGCGAGUUAAAAAGGUUUUUUCAACUAAAUGUUCCCGAACAGUUGGUGGGAAUCAAUGAUCAUGUGCAACAGAUUAUGAGCGAGAUAGAUGCUGAAUUCAAUGGUACAAGGAUUAUUGGAAUUUAUGGAAUGGGCGGCAUUGGUAAGACAACUCUUGCAAAGGUGUUAUACAAUGAACUUUCUAGUCAAUUUCACUAUCGUAGCUUUGUGGCAAAUAUUCGAGAAACAUAUCAGCGUAAGGGUAUUGAGUGUGUACAAAAGCAACUCAUUUCUGCCAUAAUAGGAAGUUUGUGUGAGGUGUCUAAUGUCGAUGAAGGAAUCAAUGUCAUAAAAUCCCGAUUUACAAGUAAGAAAGUUCUUGUUCUUUUAGAUGAUAUGGAUGAUUGUACGCACUUGAGUGCUUUGGUCAGGGAUGGUAGUUGGUUUGAAGCGGGAAGUAUAGCCAUCGUCACAACUAGAAACAAAAGCAUUCUUGAUGAAGGUAGGGCGGGCUAUACGUACCAACUCAAAGAGUUGUCUUUUUAUCAAUCACUGAUUUUAUUUAGUAGACAUGCAUUUCGAAAGGAUUAUCCUCCAAGUGAUUAUGAGGUUAUCUCUCGUGAUGUCGUAUCUACUACUGGGGGGCUCCCAUUAGCUCUUGAAGUUAUAGGUUCGUUCUUAUGUAGAAAGAGAGAAUAUGUAUGGAAAGGUACAUUAAAAAAAUUAAAGAAAGUGCCCCAUGAGAAAGUGCAAGAGAAGUUGAAAAUAAGUUAUGAAGCAUUAGAUUAUAGGGAACAACAAAUAUUUUUGGAUAUAGCGUGCCUUUUCAUCGGAUCACAUAAACAAAAUCCAACCUAUAUGUGGGAUGCUUGUGAUUUUUUCCCCGGGAUGGGGAUUGAAGUAUUAACUCAUAUGUCCCUAAUUAAAAUUGACGAAGAUGGAGAGCUAUUGAUGCAUGAUCAAUUGAGAGAUCUUGGAAGGGAAAUUGUUUAUCUAGAAAAUCCAACGGAGCCUCAAGAGCGUAGCAGAUUGUGGAUCUGUGAGGAAGCCCUAGAUGUGCUUGACAAUUGCAAGGUAUGAGUCUUCUCUACUUUUCUUAGUCAGUGAAUGUGGGUCCAUCUUCCCUUUCUUGUUUGAAAUAAAAAUAAGUAUCAGUCUUGAGUCCCCAUAAAUUGCUGCUUCUCUAAGCAAAAGAGUUUUUUUGAUUAAUCAUUGUUUUUGCCUGAUUCUAGAAAUCUAUGGUAAAAAUGAGCAAAAUUUAGAUGACUAGUACUUCUUUGUAACAAAAUCAACACGAAAAUGAAAAUAUAGCAUCAAACAUCUGUAGCAAUAAAAAGAAUCACAUAUAGAAUGAUUGUAAUUAUCAAUUUUCCUUCCACGUAUAAUGAAAAACCCUCAUUGAAGGAACACAUGAUAAGAAAGGAACAUAAAACACACACGUAUCUUUUGCAAUGACAUUCUUGUUUUCAUUUUGAUAUUGACAAUUGCAAACAAAGUAAACCAAAAAAGUGAGGAAAUUCUACAAUUGGGAUUCUUUAAUUUUGAUACUUAUAUCGAUGGAUAAUUUGAUAGAUGCAUUUGGAUGGUUAGAGUUGUAUUGGUUCGCAUAUACAUGAUAGGAGUAAAGGAAGUGUUAUUUCACAUAUAAAGGGCAUGAAUUUUGAUAAAUAUAUUUGCAAAUUGGACUCAAAUUUUGGAAAUUCAGAAGGUGCAAAAUGCGAAUGGUAUAGGUGGAUGAGGAAAAAGUUUGGAGACAAUCACUUGAGCUUCUCAUCUUUACAUAUAUUAGAUAAAUAAUAUGCAACUACACCUUUUCAUUUCACAAAAAUGAAAGGUAGAAGCCUACGCCAUAGUAGUAUGACAGCAAAUCGAAAUCAAUGCAUAUUAUUUUAUUUCAAUUGGUCGCAUCUCAUCAUUCAAAACUUAUGGUCCACAAUGUUUCCAAGUUGCAGGGCACCAGAAAGAUUGAGGCCCUUUCUCUUGGCAAAUGUGGUGAGGGAAGAAGCUACACAGCCAAACAGUUUAAAAAAAUGACCAACCUGAGGUUCCUUCAAGUGGAUGGUGCUAGUUUCAUCGGAGAUUUCCAAAACUUACUUCCUGAGUUAAGAUGGCUUCAGUGGGAGGGCUGUCCCUCGGAUUUCGCUGCGGUCAACUUUCAUUCGAAGAAAUUAGUUGUACUCGAUUUGUCAUACAGUGCAAUUUCAAAGGACUGGGGAGGAUGGGUUCCACUCAAGGUAAGAUGUAAAGAAGGCAUUGAAGUAUUUUUUUAACUUAACAUUUUUUCCUUGUACAUAUAACAUUUGAAAAUUGAUUUUCAUAAUUAAACUAGCCGUUUUUGUUUAAUUUCAUAGUAUUGAAGGAAAACAUGGUGCCCGAUGAUUGCAUCUCUCUUUCAUUUGGAUUUGUCAUGUGCUUAUUUGAUAAUAUAAGUUGCUUAUGUCUAAUAAGCAAAUAUCUCCUUUGAAAUGUUAUUCGGAAAUAAAUGCAGUUAGCACUUGUACACCCUAACAUUCUUUUGCAAUCAAUAUGUUUAAAGACAUUUAUCUAUCGCCAUGACCAAACACUACUAAAAGAGACAUUUAAAAUUAAAUAGGACCAUUGUGAAGGUAUAGAGGAGCACGGGUAAUUUUUGAGGAAUUCUAAAAGGUCGAAAACAUAAGGAGUAACAAAAAAUCACAAGCUGCGACAGUCCAAUUACACUGACGUAUCAUUUCUUUCUUUCAGAAGGCAACCGAGCUCAAAGUUCUCAACCUCACGUUUUGUCAAUCUCUGAAAAGAACUCCCGACUUGUCCACUUUCAAAAAGUUGGAGAUUUUGACUCUUGUAGGUUGUGCGAAUCUAGAAGAGCUUCAUCCUUCUAUUGGAAAUUUGGCAUCAUUGAUUGAGCUAAACUUAGCAUAUUCAUCGAUGAAAAAAUUACCUAAAAGCAUUGGGAAUUUGCAAAAUCUGAGGAUCUUGUGUAUUUUUGGAACUGGCAUAACGGAAUUACCUGAGGCCAUUGGAAUGUUGACAAAACUCCAAAAGUUGGAAGCUUGGUAUUGCAAAAACCUGGACCAACUACCUAGUAAUAUAUGCGAAUUGAUUGCGCUGGAGGAGCUCCUCCUUGAGAGGUGUGAAAAGCUUCCGGAAUUACCAGAACUGCCCUCCGGCUUAAAAGAUUUAAGGAUCACCUGCCAGGGGCAGUCUUUGCCCCGUUUAUCCCAGCUAACCCAUCUCAAGGAACUCUCUCUUUAUGAUUGCCAUCGGCUUGAAUGUGUCGCAGAGGUUCCCAUUAGACUAUCGAACCUUAUUAUUGCAUGGUGCGAAAAAUUGAAAGCCUUGACGAAUUUGUCAGACUUGAAACACUUGCGAAAAUUCAGUAUUUUUCACUGCCCAUCUCUCGAAGGAUCGCCCGACGUGUCGAAUUUUAGGCGUACACGGAUGAGAGAGCUUGGCUUUAAAGAGACCCAGCGCCCUUAUUGGUUAUAUUUCGAGCGUUAGCAGGCGUCAAGAGCUACGGGGGGUAGAAGAGAAGGAUGGCUGGACGUCUAUGGAAUCUCUCUCUCUCUCUCUCUCUCUCUCUCUCUCUCUCUCUCUCUCGCUACUAGUCAGUCGCCCUGCUGGUUUCCGAGGCUCGAAGAUCGAAGCCACCGUUCGCACCGCCCAUCCACCGCAGGCAGGUGGGCAGGUCGGUCGGCACGGCGGAGAUGAUGACGGCAACGGCGACGAAGCGUUGCCACGGCUGGCAACGCCUUCUCCAUCCACUCCAGGUAAACGCACGCACACAUCUCUCGAGCUUUGCUGCGGUCUCUCAGCGUCGCUUCGGCGCGCCAGCUCAUCGAUUAUCCGAAUUGGAGAUUUUAGUUUGCUCGGUAGUAGCUAGCGCGGUAGUUUUGGCAGCAAUCGAGUGGGCGGUUGGAGCUGGACGUCGCGCUGGCUGCCAUGGUUCUGUCGAGAUUUGGUGAGUUGACCAAGGUCACGAGCAUAGGUUUGCUAUUUUGAGCUGAGGCUAGCAUGUAUUAGUCAAAUUCCUGCAUUGGCGACGUUCUAAAUGCUCUAGAUCGGCCACGAGUGGAUGUGUAGGGCGUGAUGCAGAUGAUCGAUCAAUCGCAUUUGAAGUUUAGAGUCGAUCGAACUCAUGUUGUAAAUUUGCAAUUGUAGAUAGUUGGGAUGGCGGUGUUCAGUUUCCUAGCGGUGGCCUUCUACGUCUUCUUGGGACUGUUGCUUCGGAGCGGGGCUGCUGAGAUCACCGUGACGACAAUAUUUUCUUUUGUGGUAACUCCCUUAGUGUUUACUUUGUGCCAUGAUGACAUUGAUUGCUUUUCUUUGGUCACAGGGAAUUGAUGGGAUUUUCCACAUAUUUCCCCCGAUUUUCAGGUUUUCUGGGCGAUGUUUCUGUUCGUCUAGUGUACUGCGAUAAAUCCAACGGAAAAGACCAGUUAUAGAAAGAAGAAGAGAGGCUCCGAAGCGAUGGCGCUCGCGGACUUUUGUGCCGAUUCCUCAAGCUCGCCCUCCUAGUUUCGAUGCUUGAUAUGCCUACCUGGGUACUUCUUCUUUCUCUUUUUCUUCUUGAAUGAUGAUGGAAGGAAGGUUGGGGGUUGAUAUUCCUGUGGAAGUCUAAUGGUGGCGCCUCUGUAUGUGUAUACAAAGAGAUAUGUAAUAAAGCAAAGAGAUUAGCCUGGGGAGAUAUCCUUUCUGGCAGGAUAUCAGCAAGUCUUCAGCACUUGACCGCUUAGCUUUGGAGAAGAUAGCAAACUCAAUAGGUAGAAGUCAGUAGCUAUGGCAUGUGGAUGAGCUGAGUAGGAAAGUAAUGCACAAAGCUCUGUGGAUAAGCUGGACAUUAUUGUUUGGGGUACCAUCUAGCAAAAUAGUUCAAACUUUUGCUUUUACAAGAUGGUGAACCCUCCAUUUGGAAUUGAAGUUAAAGAUGUGGGAGUGAAGGAUUGAAAAUUUGAUAAUAUCCCUGGUCUAUGAUGACAAAGAGAAAAAGGCACUUUGUCUAAGUCAAGUAGUUUAUUUUGUUUUAUCGCCUUUUCAGAGUUUAGUGAAGUUGGGUGUUGGGGCUUCUCUUUGUUUUCUUAUUCUGCUUAGUAGAUUUGUUUUUGGGGUUUGCAUUACCUUUUAUAGAGAUGGAUAGGUAUUUCCUUGUUACCUUACUUAUUAUACUUAUUGCAUAACAAAGAAACUGGGGAGAAAAGAGAUUGAGACUGGGUGAUGGAGGAGCGAUUCGUAAUGCUAUUUUGGGGAUUGAUGUUCGUCUGCCCACUGACAAACUAAUAUACAAUCAAUUAAAGAUGAACUGUGAUUACGAGUGGUACCUCUCCAUUGCAAUUAGGGUGUGCCAUGGAGUUUCUUCGUUGCAUGAACAACAACAUGUGUUAGGUUUGUUGGUGGCGAAAGUCAUAUUAAAAACGCAAGAGCCAAGAUUAUUGUGUUCAGCUGUGGACCUAGUUCUUGGGGCAUGAACUUUUGUCUUCCCAGCUCAAAGCACUCUUUGCCUUCCUCUUCAAGUGAUACAAAGGAGUCAAAAUUAUUUGAUGACACUGAUACUGGGAUAUAUAUCUAUGUUAAAUUGUUUUCCCUGUAUUUUAUUGCUCCUGAACUUUCUUGUAAUAAAAGAAGCAUCUUAUACACAUUGUUAGGAGUGAAUGGGGUCAUCGAGGUUAACCUAUGUCCAAGUAUAUGCCUUCUCAUCUCUGCUUUUGGGUGAUAUGGUGGAGUUUUCACUCUUUGUUGAUGGUAUUUCAUUGUCAUGGUUUGCUGAAAGCGGAUAAGUUACUCUUGGAUUAGUCAGAGCAUUAUGAUUAGUGGCUAGUAAUUAUACCUAUGCAAGAUCUGAAAAUUGUUUUAGGAUUGCUAUCUGCGUAGGAUGCAAUUAAAAGAUGGAACUUGGUCACAUCAAAAGUCAUUCCCAAUUGGGAUCAAGAGUAGGAUCAUUGGAGAUGUAGGAUGGGAUUUCUAAUCCCAGUCCCAGAUAUUCUUCUUGGCCUAUUUAAUUAGCAAUCAAUCUCAUAGUAAACCAAAUUAGGCUCCAAUUCUCAUUGUGCAUGACCCAUUGUACGUCUAAAACAAUAUCUAAAGGCCAAACCUGUUAAUUAGGGCUAACUUUGGGGAUUGAACUAUGAGGGAAUUAUAAAUGAGAAUGAGGUGUUGCCCUCAUCUUGAAUUAGAUUGGAUAGAAGUUUUGAUUGGUAGUUGUGGUGAGGCUGAAGAUUCUUUCUAUACAGACUUGGGCGAAUCCAUAAGCUUUUUGCUGGAGUAAGGUAAAUGGACCAUAUGCUGUGCCUCCACAAACGGCAGUGUAGCCCAAUGCCAACACCUUUGUACAGCAACCACCUCUACUGGCUGGGGACAGAAUUCUUUUUCAUGUUACAACAUAUAGCACUUUACCUUGUCUAUUUCUUUCAUCCUCCUCUCUCCUUCUUUUCACUGCCAUCAUCCGGUUUUGCAUUUGUUUUAUUCUCUUCUUUACUUUUGCCUUAGAUGCUUCUCUAGUUAACUUUCUUUUAAGAGAUACGAGAGCUUCUUCAGUGACCUGCUUCUGCUGUGGUGAUAAUAGUGCUUUUGUCUUCUAAUUUUGAGCUUCAUUCCCUCUUUUCAAAGAUAACAUACAGGUAAUAGUACAGAAAAAAGAUAAGAUCUAUCACUUUAGACCUUAAUUUUCUGUAGGGUCUUACAAUCAUUAAUUUAAAGUAAGGUCCAAUUUCUAUUAUUUUGGGAUCAAUCUUAACAACCUUUACCUCAAGGGGUUGAUUUUAUAUUGCAAGGAUUGCCUCCUAUAUAUGUACUGAUUAGAUCAUGAACUGUUGUUUUGUGUAGCUUUGACAUGCCAUCUAUGUAUAACUAUCUAAAAAAAAAGAAUGUGCCUGGCAUAUUGACAUGGGAAUUGGCUCUAGGCAAUCUAUUGGGAUGCGAGAUCUCUGGCCUGGUGCUUGUGCUCUAGAAUCUAGUAUGGUGGAAUCCUCUAGAAUCUGGUAUUGCGGAAUCCUCUUCAGUUUCUCACCUUCUGUUUCUGGAUUCUCUCCCAUGAUUGCCCCAAAUUUUUACUUUUUGUUCCCCUAUUCAUUUAUGAGUUGGAUUACUUCUUUUUCAUCUCUAGUUCAGCAUACAUUUCAUGACAUAUCCUUUGUGGGGAUCUUAUAGUGCUUGUUCUGUUUGUGAGUUUUCAAUUGGCUUGUAUCCUCUUCAUAGAGAUACCUUAUUUGUAUUGUACCUUGCUAUUGUCCCUUUUGGUUCCUUUUUUGACCAUAUUUUCAUUCUAGAGUGACAAAUUUUCCGUGCUAUUAAUCAAAUAGUUCAAAUCAAAGUUUUAAUUGUGAUCUAGACAUAAUCAAGUCAUUGACUUGAUUGGAUAGUGACCUCCAUGUCACUGUUUUCUUAUCCACAGGCUGUCACAGCAAUGGUGCAGCAAGUGUUGUAAUAUGUUGACGAGACACCUGAUCUUGAGGCCAAGAUAGAGCUUACUAAGACACUUAACUCUGUUGUUGCUGGGAAGGUGAAUAUGUGAGAAAUCAUACCCUGUUGCAGCUUAUGUUCAUCAGCAAUCUGCUUUUAGUUCGUGAUUUCUGUAGCUAGUUUCAUAACUCAGGUAUAUGUCGAAAUUGAGAGAGCACGGUUGAUCAAGAAACUUACAAAAAUAAAGGAAGAGCGUGGUUGUGUAGCAGAAGCUACUGAUAUGAUGCAAGAAUUGGGGAUAACUAGAAGUUAACUUCUAUUGUCACUGAUCUUGUAAUUGGUUUUCCCUCGUCCAACAUUCCUAUGACGGGUUUGAAAAGUAGGUAGAAACUUUUGGAGCAAUGGCAAAGAUGGAAUAAAUUGCCUUUAUUUUUGAACAAGUGCGGGUAUUUUGUAUUGCUUUUAGCUGUUUAUCCAUUAUUACUAUGAUUGGUUUUUUGAUCGAAGGAUUUUGCAGGUUCGUCUGUGCAAGGAGUACGUCUAUGCACAUAUCAUUUCCAGGAAGAUCAACCCACGAGUGUUUGAUGCAGAUCCUUACAUACAGAAGAAAAAAGGCUAAAGAAGGUGAAAACAUCGUGGAACAAGCGCCAGCUGAUAUUCUGUCUCUCUUGGAGUUGAAACGGAUAUACAAUGACUCAUGAUAUAACAAAUUGGUGUUUUGCUUUUCUAAUGUUGAGUCCACUAUCUUUUAACUAAUUUGCUGUUGCUGAUCGAAUGCCACCUAGUAUUCAGGUUGUGGUUCAAACCAUGAACUUAUAUAGCUUUAUAUAUCUGGCACAUACUCUUCCUUCUUUCUAGCUUUAUCGCAAACUCUGAUGUUCCAUAUGUACUUGAUAGAUUUGAACUCGCAUCUUAGUUUGCCUCCCAUUGAUGUGGUUAACCAUGUAGGUAUUACUCACAUAACAAUGAUUACCUUGAGAUUUGUCGAUACUAUGAGACGAUAUAUGAGAUUCUAUCAGUAAAGGGCGACCCAGUGCUAUGUAUAUGGGUGAAGCUCUUUCCUUGUUAAGUCUUCACUGAGUCUUUCAGGGCACAGCUAUGCAUUCUGUGAUUUAAUUAAACGUAGGUUCUAAGGAAAAUCUGCUAGUACUUGGUUCUAUCACCACAUGAUCCUAUGUGGUCAAGCCUUCUUAAUGCAACUUCAAUAAACAUCUCUUAGAAAUUCCCCAAUUCAGGUACCAUCUUUGAAUUGUUCUAGGUAAUUGAUUGUAGAUCUUGCAAUAUCUCAAUAACGUGCCAUAGGAUUUGGUCGACCGUGCCUUUGAUAUUUUUAACGCAGGUUGCUACUGAAACAAUUGGUUACGGUGGAGGCUCUAACGGACUCCUCUUUAAAGUACUUUCAAAGAUGAAUUGGAGAAUGAGAAGACAUGCUAGGAGGUGCACUUGUUGAGAAUUAGACGGGGCCCAAUCAUAGUCAGAAGAAGAAUUUUGGCUUCUCCUUAGCGAGACAAACUACCUUUAGCUAGAAGCCUCUUUAGAGAAUCAUCGAACAUGUAAUUACAGAACUUGUCGUUUUUCUUCUUUUCAUUGGAUCAUCACUCGGAUGUGACUUCCUUUAUUUUCUGCAGAAUAUUAUCGUUGUUUUGAAGUAUUGCUCAGAUGUGACUUACUUUAUUUUCUGCAGAAUAUUAUUGUCGUUUUGAAGUAUUCCUCGAGGAUUACCUUAAAGAGACUUGCAGAGUGGUUAUGCCUCAGUAUCCAGGUCUAAUUAUGUGGAACAUUUGUUGAUAUUCUUUAUCAGUGCCACUUUUUAUGAACGAUUGCCUAGACCCCUCAUUUAACCCUGAGUAGCCUCUGUGCCUGUGAUCCUUGAUUGGCGCAUGGUUGCUGGACUAGGAUACAAGUUCCAAAAUAUGUGUAAAAGAGAUUUUGGUGCGUUGAAAGCAAAGUUUUGUCAUGGAUUUGAGAAUGUUGUCUUCAUAGUUUUGUUUUGUAAACAUUUCUGGCCAACAUAUAUGUGUACACUUUUUUUUUUCUUGGCUUAGUCAACUUCUGCUCAUAAAUUUGUUGUAGCUGUAAGUGUUGUCCGGCAUUGUGAAACCAUUUUUUGUCCCAUGGAGCCUGAAAUUUUAACGUGCUUAGCUUUUUCUGCUAGUGUUGACACUCACCAUUUCCUGUGUUACAAAAGUAUAUCUUGUGAGAGAUCUUGAUUAACGUGUUCAGAAAAUCUUUGUUGUUGAAUCACUCAAGAAGAAGAGCUCUGUUUUUGGGUUCUCUUACUGCAGUUUUUAAGAGCUUUAAUCAAUCACAUGACUAAAUUUAUUAAAUCAACACUAUCAUCUGACAGAGAGACCAUAUAAUGAUAAUUAUACAAGCUCAUAUGAUAUUCUAUCAUCAUGACCGCUUACUUCUAUAUUACAAUUUUAGGAAGCUGAGAAGCAUCUCUUCUUAGUGUUUGUUUCCAAGGACCUGGUGGCAAUGGCAAAGAUAGACUGGCCAAUGAGAAUUGUCAGUUUGGAAACGGCAAUGGACAGCAAUGAGAUUUUGAACUCAGGCGACAAAUUUGGAAAAGCUGCCUGACCUUGUUGAGAAAAGCUGCCACUAGAUCCCCAAGGAAACCAUGUUUCAUAAGGCUGCUUUGAGUGCUUGAAGAUGUUUUUGGUUGAAUGAAUGAUCUCUCUCCCCUAAGGCCUCCCUCCCUCUCUCUCUCUAACUGAAGAAUGCUGUUUCACAUUAUGGUGGGGACUAGAGAUAUUGAUCAUAGAACUCUUGCGUAGCUGUCUUAAAUUUGACUGCAUAUUUUGCGAGGGGACCGGAUCCUGGCCUUGUUUUGGACUGAAAUGAUAUACUGAAUUCACUUUCUGUAUAGGAAUGGAGUUUGGUCUUUUCCUCUUUCCUCAUUCCCCCACCUUUUAAUUGAAAAUGUGUGGGCUUUUAGGGUCCAGAACUUGUACCAAUGGAACAGGUGUCAGCACAAGAUGUCACUCAUUUGGAUGAAAUAAGCGCCUUGUUACAGAAUUGUGUUUCGCAUUACAAAUAUUGCUGGUGCUUGCAUUUUUUCUAACAUUGGGGAUAACCCUUCCAUUUCAUUUCACAUUCGAAAUGAGCGAUGUUUCCAAGGAGCUUCAUUUCAAUAAUAUAUAUGCACUUUUUGUCUCCUCAAGGGACGUUAUUUUUCUCCAAGUCGAUACCUGAUAGGGCAUGGACGUUCUCUAAAAUUCCAGCUCCUUCCUUUUCUUCAUGGAAACUGAAAAGAUUGGGAAAGGCUGUGGCCACAUCUUUGGGUUAUGCAAAUAGUUAUGCCCACUAGGUAAAAAGCACCCUUUUACUUUCUUCACAAAGCAAUUGUACAAAAACACAUAGGCAAAGGAGGGAGAUCAAUACAGCUGGAUUUAUGGUGCUCUCAAUCCCCAAAAUUCGCCAGGUUCUUUCAAGCUCCAAGGAUAUGACUUCGUAGUUUCAAAGUCAUUUCAAAUUCUCGAAUUAACUUUUUACCUAUUGAGUUCGAUCCUAAGAAGAUACACUUUGUUUCUCCAAUUACACGAUUUGCUCUUCAGCUCAUUAGUCAUUCCAAUGCUGGGAUUUUUUUCACUACUGCAAUGAAGAUUUUGUUCCAAUGAGUGAUGUUCUGGUUUAACUUUCCAGUAUGCAAGUUUUGGUCUCCUGUUGCUUUCUUUGUUUUUUUUUCUUUGAUAAUCUUGGUCUUCAUGAUAUUGGAACUGUGAGUAGAGCCGAAUUCCAAAAUUUCAGAGGAGAAUUAUAUAUGUUUCCAAAAAAAUUAUGAAUUACUUCAAGUUUGAGCAAUUUUAUCUAUAUGAAUCGUGUAGGAAUUGUGAGAGGAAUCCUUUAAACGAGUUGGCGGAGAUUUGGUGGUGCAGGUGGUUGGGGCCGGUGGUGACAAGGCUCCCAUUGGACUGGACGUUGGGCCGGUGGAAGCAAUGGUCACCAGUGGCAAAAGUGUGGAUGUGAGUAAUACUCGCCGGCUAUGGUGACAGAAAAAAUGGCCGGUCCAUUGGUUAGGGUGUUGAAUGGAAAGCCGGUGUUGCAGUUGUUGUUGUCAUCCUUUGACACAUUCGCGACAUCAUGUGACCCUGUAUUGAACCCUGCAAAAACAAUGGAAGAUCAUCCAGCAUGAAAAAGUGAGGCUCAAGAUUAUUUUUUUGGCCCUCGAAGCUCAAGAUUGAUUGCAGUUGAGAAUGGACUGGUCGGAGCAAAGUCCUUAAUAAUUAUAAUAAACAAGUAUCUGAUUCCUACUCGAAGAGAGCCAAAAUGAGAAGGCUGCAUUGGCUUGGCGCAGUUCAAGUACACGGUGCUGCUAGAAUUGAUCAUUCAUCCUGCAGAAUAUCCCAUUGGAUAAUUCGUCGCCUUUCCUCCCGAAAAAAAUGGAGUUGCAACGGCUAGAACGAAGUCUCUGAGUUUUCGCACUUGGCCAUUUGGCCGGGCUUUUGUUAUAAUUUCAGGACGAGGUCAUCUCUUAGAUCUCCAUGCUUCCUAUUCUUUGUCAAAGGUGCGGUUUUCGAGCACAAACAUAGCUGGGAAGCCAAUGUCGGGAACGCUCCUCAUAGACUGUGUAGUGAGUCAUUGGCUUGGUCGCUUCGACUGACUAUAAUACUUUAUGGGUGGUUGGUGAGUGAGACUGUGAUUGAAAAUAAAGGAAGCCAGUACUGAUCAUUCAUUCUCUGUCAAAAUGAUGCAUUCACAUCUGUCUUUUGGAGGGAGUGGAAUUAGUAGAUUCUAAGAUAGUGCCUAAAAGGAUUGCAUGAUGGGGUGGGCAUGAAUGCGACCCGUAAUGCUCAAACCAUUUGUGAUUGGAUUAAGGGAGGAUGAUUUGAUCAUGGGCUGCAAUCUCGCGAAUUCCUUAGUCUCUAUUCUAUUCGGUUCGUUGAUCAUUCCAGCGACUGUUAUAAGACUUUGGCAUUGUGACUAUCAUGAGAAUUCUGCAUUAUAAAUAGAGUAGAAAAUGUCGCUGCUCAAAUCACUUGUAUAUAAUGUCAAUAUUGCUUAUCUUCAUAACAGAUAAACCAUUAGAAACAACUCUCGCCACAAGAAGAGAUCAGUGUUGCAUCAUACCAAUCCUAUACCUACCCUUCGAUUCCACGGAUAACUUGCAUAGUGGCCGGUGAAUCUUUCCAAAGAACAUGGAAGAACUAGGAUUUAAAAGAGCAUUUUCGGUCAGUGUCAUUCGGGAAUCACGUGAGCUUUAUUUGGACCAAGCGUCUGAACCUCAAUAGCUAGAGAACUGUGCUUCAGUGUGUAACCUCAGCAUCUAUACAAAGACAUUUGCCUCGACAUGCAAAAUCCAUUCGCGAUAGACGAGCCACUAGAAACACCUCUCAUGAAGAGGGAAGAUCGGUGUUGCGUCACCCCGAUCCUAUUAUGCUCUUUGCGAAUUCCACUAAUAAUCCCGUGCACUUAGCCAUGAGAAAAAUGCGAUCUUGAAGGUCAAAGAUAGCGAGAGCAGAACUUUCUGAUCAAGACAAAGUGCCAAAUACAGUAGAGCUUAGGGGUGAGCGGUUCCCGGUUCCGGUUCGGUUCCAUCCGGAACCUGGAACCUACCCUCGGGUACAGGUUCCUCCAUUUUUGGAACCUGGAACCUACCCGUCAAAACCGAGAACCUGGAACCUACCCUGUUACAGGUUCCGGGGUCGGUUCCAGGUUCCAACAGGUUCUUUUUUUUUUUUUUUAGUUUCAUUUUCAGUACUGUGUGAUCUAGAUGAUGAAGCGGUCUCAGUCCAAUUAAUGACUCCGUAGGCAAGUUGGUCAGGGCACUUAGAGGAGUGAUGCUGGGUAAGGCAUCAAGCAACACCCAUUGAUUCUUGUUGCAGUAAGCUUGCCUUCUUAAGUUCUGCACCAAAAUCUGUCGACCGAACAGCAAAUUCAAUCAAAUUCAAAAUCAAAUGGAAUACUUACGAAUUUUAAGUGAAGUGAUUGUGAUAUAUGUAUGGACAAGAACAAUACAUACAAGCCCUUCUGUAGCUCCACAUAGUUUGACAAUCUACUGCUUGAUAUGAAAGUUUCUGGCUAUGCUUUAUGUACCUUCUGAGAGUGGGUCAAUUGAUCCAGCGACUGGUAAGUUUGGCCAUCAAGUGUUGCUUGAGCCACUUUCAUCAUUCCCUUUGCAACCCGAUCACCAAAUAUCUUAAAUAACAUUGCAUCACACAAGUAGUGGAUUUGAUGGUCAACAAUGCUUAAAUAACGUGUACAGAAAAGGGGAAAUUAGCACGGCUAGAAGAGAAAUGGUUGCUACAUUUCUCAGAGAGGAUGCAUCAGCUUCGUACAACUGGAGGAAAUCUUGAACAGUAUUGAUUCCUCUUGAAAUCAUGCGUUUAUGUAGAGCACCGUCUUUGGCUACUUUCUUUAAACGCCACACUUCGUCGCUCAGUGAUGGAGGGUGGUGCUUCUUGUUCACUACACAUGACAGAGAAAACUUGUCAAUUUUAAGUCUUUUUUAGUUCAACCAAAAGGAUCAGGAAUUAGCAGUUAAAAAUCAAAAGUCAUAGGCAACUAAACUAAUAAUUGCAAACUUACAAACUCCUCGAUGAUAAACCAUAUUAGGCGAGCGGCGAGCAGUGUCGGGGCGGCUAGGCGAGCGAGCAGCCUCCACUAGGGGGACAAGCGGCGUCCAACGGUGGCGUCGACGUCAAGCGGCUGAGCGGCGAGGCAAGCGAGGGGUGACGGCAUCCAGCGAUGGUGUCGAGGGAGGUUCGGCAACGGCGAAGAAGACACGAGACUCACGGCACCAACGACGGCACAGACGGCGCAGCGAAGACGGCGGCGGUCGCGGCUCAACCCACGGCCAAGGGAGGAAGAGCUCGGUUCAAACGGAGGCGGCGGCGGUUCGGAGCAACGACGGCCCAGACGGCCGAGCGAGCGGCGGCAAGAGGUGGUGACGGUGGCUUGGGGACGGCGGCGGUGGCUCACGGCGGCGAGGGGCGACGCGGACGGCGUGACAGCUUGUCGGGCUCAACGGCAACACGGCUCGUCGGACGAGCGGUAGGUGGUGGUGGUUCGGUGGCCAAGAGGUGGUGGUGAGUAGGGCGUGGGGCGGCGGUGUGGUGGUGGGUGAAGCAACCGCUAGCAAGAGGAAGGAAGAAGAGAAGAAGGGAGGGGGGUUUCGGCCAAGAGAGGGAGAAAGAGAAGAGAGAGAAGAAAAGAAAAAAGUUGGGGGGAGGGAGCAGGAAGUGACGUGAGGAGGAAAAAGGUUGAAAAGAAAGAGAGAGAGAGAAAAGGAAAGGGCAAAGGGGGGGAAAAAUCGGCAGAGGGGGGAGGGAAAUCACGUGGGGGGUUGAGUGACGUGCUACGGUUUUUUUAUUUUGAAUUUAGACCGGUUCCGGUUCCGGUUCUCGGUUUCCUUUUUCAAGGAACCGGGAACCGGAACCGGAACGCCGGUUCCCAAAAAAAGGGAACCGGGAACCGGAACCUGUUUUUUCAGAACCGGGAACCGAACAGGAACCUCCGGUUCGGUUCCCCGGUUCCCGGUUCUACCCGGGAACCGUGCUCACCCCUAAUAGAGCUGUCGUAAUAGGAAAAUUUUCUAGAGCCAAAGAUCGGAAAAGUCAUUGAUCGAGUAGCAUCCCAUGUACUCCCCAACCUUCCCUUUUGAAUUGACAAAACAAUGCAUUGCAACAGGUGAAUCCUCUGAGAAACUAUAAAAAGAGGCCAAACCCCACAAGCAAUUCCAUCAUUUGAACAAUGAAAAAGAAGAACGAGAAUUUCGUGGAGAUUUUCAAAUUCAGACUUCACCACUUCUUCUUGCACUUUUGGUAUGAAAUUUCUUUCUCGUUUGAAUACCAAAAAUGAGCAGAUAGUUGUCUCGUACCAUAUUGAGAGGAAAAUAUAUCAAUUGGCUCAAAAUUCACUUAUAUAUUUGACUCGAGCAAUUUAAAUUUCCAAUCCUAUUCAAUCUCCGAUUUUAUAUUGAUCAGGGUGAGCUUUCGUUUCUCGCCUUGACUCUAAAUUUCCAAUCACCCUUUUUAUUUCCGUCCACAUGCAAAGUCAAACCAAGUGUAAAAUCCGAAUGGUAUCGACGGUUGCGACUCACCAGUCGCCUUCGAGGAAAAGAAGAAAGGAAAUCUCAUCUUCAUUGCAAAGAUGGCCAGCCCAGCCCAAGUAAUUCUCAGGCUCCAUGGGCCGUCCGGUGAAGACGGGCCGGAAUCUCUAUCGGCUGUUGGAUCUUUUCUGAGGCCCUUGACGGGCCAAUCCGAUCAGGAUUCAAUUCGCUUCUUUUUCGGAUCCCUCGAUUUCCCCUCCAUUUUCAUCCAUUUUCAUUUUUAUUCCCUCGUGCUCUUUUAUUUAUUUAUAUAUUUAUUUUUCCUCUUUUAUUAAAUUAUUAAUUUAAUUUGCUCUCGCAUCAGUGCGUUCAAAGAGGAGGAGGAGAGAGGAGAGGAGAAACAGACGAGUGGAAGUUUUUCGCGGGUCAGGGGUUCACCCAGCGCUCUUUCUCUCUCCUCUUUCUUCCCCUUUCUCCAACUCCAAGGGCUCCGAAUCCAUCGUGGUAGGAGACUCUCGCCGAUUCCUCGAGCGCGCCCUUACGAUUUCUGGGAGCCGAUUGAGAUGGUGAGUUCGCGUCCCCGCUUUCAAAUUUGUAGCGAGUAAUUGGCUGCUCGAUUGCCGGCUCACCUGAUAGUCCUAGGUGGGUGGCAUUGGGGCAACUCAAUAAGGGGGUUCUUAGUGUGUGUUUUCGCCUGAACUUGGUGGUUUAGUACCAUGAGUACUGAAUGUGCGUGUGUGCGUGACAUUGUUGAGUUAGCGGAUGCGCUAUAUUGUAAAUGAUUUUCUUUCAGGGUUGGACACCUUUUUUUUUUCUUUUUUCUUUUUUGCAUUAUCUAUUGAAUUUAACUUCUCACGGGUAACGAAUUAUUCAAGUUGGCGAGAUUUGGAAGAAUUGAUAAAAAGAUGUGCUUUUGGAACCCUUUUGUGGAAGCUUGGAGUUUAUUUCUGUGGACGAAUUGAUAAAAAGAUGUCUUUUCAAAGUAUUACUCAAGGAUUACCUCGAAGAGACUUGCAGAGCUAUUAUACCUCAGCAUACAGGUUGAUUAUGUUGAACAUUUGUUUAUAUUCUUCAUCAAUGUCGAUCUUUAUAAAUGAUUGCCUAGAGCCCUCAUUUAACCCUGAGCAGCCUCUCUGCCUGUGAUCCCUGUGGGGCAUGGUUGCUGGACUUGGGUACAAGUCCCAAAAAAAGUGGAAAAGAAGUUUUGGUGCCUUGAAAGCCAAAGGCUUGUCAUGAGGUUGUGAAUUUUGUCUUGGUAGUUUCGUUUUGUAAACAUUUCUGACCAAUAUAUAUGUGUGGACUUCACUUUGUCAACUUCUGCUCAUGAAAUUUGUAGCUGUAAGGGUCAUUGUCUGGCGUUUUGAAACCAUUUCUUGUCCCAUGGAGCCUAAAAUUCCGAUGCCCUUUAGAAGGGUGGGAGGAGUUUUGCUAUCACUCACCAUCCAUUUCCUGUGUUACCAAAGUAUAUCUUGCGAUUAGAACUUUCUUAUUGUGUUCUGAAAAUCUAUGUAGCUGAAUCACUCAAGGAAAAGAGCUCUGUUUUUGGGUUAUGUUACCACUGUUGUAGAGAGCUUUGAUUGUUCUAUGUUACCAUUUUAGGAAUCUUAAAAGCAUCUCUCCAAAAUGGUUGUUUCCAAGUCCCUAAUGGCACAAAUAGACCGGCCGAUGGGAGUUGUCUGUUUCUAGAUGACAAAGGACAGUAAUGUCAUCUUGAAUUUGUGGGUGACAAAUUUAGAAAAGCUCCUUCAUCUUUUUGAGAAAAGUUGCCACCAAAUCCACAAGGAAACAUUGGUUCAUAAGGCUACUUUGAGAGCUUGAUAAUGUUCUUAGUUGAACGAAUGAUCUCUCUCCCCUUGAGCGUCCCUUGAUCUCUCACCAAAAGAGAAGCGGAAUAAUGCUGUUUCACAUUAUGGCCUGAAGUGGGACUGAAGAUGUUUAUCAUAUCUCUCGUGCGGCUGGCUUUAAUUUGAUUGCUUAUUUUGCAAGGGGGCCAGAUCUGGGCCUUGUGUGGACUGAAAUGAUACAACGAGUACACUUUAUGCAUAGGAAUUAGGAAUUUAUGUUGGUCUUUUCAUCUUUCCUCUUCAUCCCUCCUUUUCAUUGAAGAUUUUUGAGCUCUCAGGGUCCAGAACUUGUGCCAAUGGAGUUAGUAUCAGCACAAGAUGUGCACUCAAUGCAGCAAAAUGAGCAUGUUAAAAUCUGUUUGGCAUUAAUAAUUUUGCUGGUGCUUAUAUUUUUUUAACAUUGGGGAUAACAUUGGCUCUCCAUAGAAAAGGCGAAUGGAUGUUAUUUUUUUUAUAUCAUUUCACAUUUGAAUUUCAUCUUCAGCAGUGAGAGCGUGUUUCUUUUGGACCCAAUCUUGGCCAUCGACGGUUCUAAAAACCUGUUUCUGGGGAGCUUCAUUCAAUUAGGUAACUGCAUUUUAUAUCUCCUCAAGAGAGACAUAGUUUCUCUCCAAGUUGAUGUUUUGAUGUCAUUUCCAUAAGACACUCCGUUGUGAUGUCAUUUCUCUAUAUAGUUUCUGUCACUGAAAUGUGUUUGAUUCCGACUGGUUUUGACAUCUCUCUCAACUCUUGGCAUGUGUGUGUAAUACAGUGAGAAGCUUUGAGAUAUUGAGGAUAAUGUGUUUUUUCGAUGAUAGUAAAAUUUCAGAUUUGAUGGAAGUUAUCUUUACAUGGUCUCUUCCCAUUUUCAAUUUACUAUAGGUGCUUCUAAGUGGCAACAUAGGAUUAUUUCUUUGUCUAAUUUGUUUUUGCUUUUAUCUUUUGACACCAUCGCAUAUUUCCUAUUAAUCUCGGCAUUUGAUUGAUUUCAUUGGUCAAUUGUUGUCUGAAAUCCCUUUUCUUUACUGAAGAAGAUGUAAAGGUUUUGAAUAUCGUGUCAUAGAGUGAAAUGGGAAAAGAGUGACUCCUAUGGGGACCAUCGAGUAGUUCUUUAACUUUAUUCGUUUCAUGGAACAUGUUUGGAUGGGUUUUCUUUUCCACUUUUUUGUUAAAAUAAAAAGCAAGUAAAGUCAAGAGGUUCCCCGCAACUUCCUCGUAAUGCUAAGAAUAUUACGCGUGCAAUGACUCAGCAUUCCUGGAGGACUCUGCAAUCAGUAUUCUCCAAGCAUGAACCGUGCAAAAGAAAAAAUGCACUUUGGUGGAGAAGGCAUUCGCUGAAAAUGUUAACAUGAAAUAAAAAGGCUAAACACCAAAUGAAAUAAUAAGUAAUUUAUAUUCACUAAAUAAUUGUUCGAUGGUGCAGAGAAUCCAUUGGCCAAGAAUUUCUAAACGUGACACCGAAUGUAUAAACCCGCAAUUCCACCAACUCGAGAGGAGCCGUCUAUAAUGCCUUGUAGGUCCAUGAAAAGGAAAAAAAAAAAAAAAGAUCGGUGGAAUCAUCUCAUGUACUUAAUUAGAUGGAUUUAACAUGACCACUGAAGCUCAAUUAUAAUUAGAUGGAUUUAACAUAAUGUUGAAGCACUUGAAUAGAUCUGUUAUCAUCCAAAAUAAAACCCAAUGUUCAUUUCAUUAUUUAAAUAGGCAAUGCGAGAUAAUAGUUUCAUUAGCGGGGUUUGGGUAAUGGCCCAAUUUCGAUUUCAUUUUUAGCAAGUAGUUCCAUUCCAUAUAUGAAGUGAUAUUGUAUUUGUUUGUGUAAACGGUUAUCUAGAUAUAGAUUUAAUCUCUUUAUGUAAAAACCCUUUUUCGAAAAUCCCAAAAGUUUAUUGGUUGACGUAGGACAAGUUGUCCAUAGUUUCCUAAAAUGAAUUGAUCAACAAAUGAAUAGAGUUUAGCACAACAUUUAUCAAAGUGAAUAGAUAAAGGUCGGCUGCUACGAAUGAGAGCUACGGACAAUCUAGCAUAAAUCGUGUUGACAAGGAUUUUUCAUAGAAGUGCCACGGGUUUCAUUACAAAUACCGGUGAAGAGCAGAUGCUGAAAAUGCAUUUGUCCAAGCCUUUAAGUUAGCUUUGGAACUGUUCUCGUCAAUCCUCCACAACCUCUAACGAAAUUCACCACUCAAUUCCAAAAAUUCCCUGCCCAGCCACACCAAUUUUCCCAAAGUCCUCGCGUAGCUUGUGCUUCACACUACUUUACCCAUCCGUUUUAGCGUGCGGCAACGCGGUGUCCUCCUCACUUCACCUUCCCGUUACAUUUCCCUAAAGACUCCAUUUAUUAAUGGAAAAGCAAGUCAAGUCAAGCUGUGCUUGAUUCCAAAGUUCAAUCAAAGCACCUGUGUAGGUGGCGCGCACCUUCCGCAGGGUGCUAACGAAUUUACGCGUUCAAGCGCGCAUAGUAGAAAAGGCAAGGACUAGGAGCAUCUUUAUUGCAAGUGGGUUUUCUUUUCCACUUUUUUGUUAAAAUAAAAAGCAAGUAAAGUCAAGAAGCACCUGCAGAGGUUCCCCGCAACUUCCUCAUAAUGCUAUGAAUAUUACGCGUGCAAUGACUCAGCAUUCUUGGAGUACUCUGCAAUCAGUAUUCUUCAAGCAUGAAGCUUAAUACUGUGCAGAAGAAAAAUGCACUUUGGUGGAGAAGCCAUUGGCUGAAAAUGUUAACAUGAAAUAAAAAACUAAACACCUAAUGAAAUAAAAAAGUAAUUGAUAUUCACUAAAUAAUUAUUCAAUGGUGCAGAGAACCCAUUGGCCAAGAGUUUUUAAAUGUGACACCGAAUGUAUAAACCCACAAUUCCACCAACUCGAGAGGAGCCAACUAUAAUGCCUUGUAGGUCUAUGAAAAAGAAUAAAGAAGAUCAGCAGAAUCACCUCAUGUACUUAAUUAGAUGGAUUUAACAUACAUUGAAGCUCAAUUAGUUGUUGAUUAUGCAAACAAAAUCACCAUAAUUUUUUAACUUGCCCAAAUAAGGACAAAAAAAACCUCUCUUAUUUACUAUCAAUCGACUAUCGGUUGCCUCGAUAACUCUCAUAUACUGUACAUUCUCGAUAAUCCCAUAUACUAUACAUUCUCCUAUCAUUAUGAUAUAUCAAAUGCCCGAAUAUGCUUGUAGCUCCAUCAAAUCCGAAACGGAGUCUCACCCAAAUCCAGUCUUUCGUAAAAAGUGUGCACUAAUCUUCGGCCGACCUCACUCCGAGCAUCAGCAUUGCUCGCUGCUUUUCUUUCCGAUUCUUCGUUUACUUGGAAAAAGCAAGUCAAGUCAAGGUGCACUUGCAUAGGUAGCUUCAAUGCACCUUCUGCAUAAUGUCGCUGAAAUUAUGCCUACAAUGGUUUCCCUUUGCUUUUUAUUUUUUAAUUGUUUUAAUAAUAGAAAAAUAAGUCAACUUGAACUCGUGCUCAGUUUAGAAAAAAAAGCACCCGCAUAUGCUCUAUGCCCCUUCCGCGCAAUGUCGUGGAAAUUAGGCAUGCGAUAAUUACGCUUUUCGUGCAGCAUGCAUCGCAAUCGCAGCGGUUCGAUUAGUUGGAGAUUCUUGGACCGUUGGAUGGCAAGAACUCAGCAUUGUUCAAGCACGCAUAGUAGAGAGUGUUGUGAUGUCAUUUCUCUGCCUUGCUGACACUAGAUGUGUUCGAUAUUGACUAGUUUUGAUAUUUCUCUCGACUCUUGGAAUGUAUGUGAGUAAUACAGCAAAAAGCUGGAAAUAUGGAGGAGGAUGUUUUUCUUCGAGGACUCUUAUCAAAUUUCAGAUUGGCUGGAAGUUCUCAAUACACGGUCUCUUCCCAUUUUCAAUUGACUAUUAGUUCCAAGUCACAACCUAAGAUGAUUUUUUUUGUCUAAUUUGUAUUCGCUUUUAUCUUCUAGCUGGUGAAGCAUAGAAACCAUCAUAUUUCCUAUCAAUCUCGACAUUUGAUUGAUUUCAUCAAUCAUUUAUCAUUUCAAAUCCCUUCUCCUUAUCGUGUCAUAGAGUGAAAUGGGAAAUAAGUGAUUCUUAUGAAAACCAUUGAAUAGUUCUUGAACUUUAAUUCGUUUCAUGGAACAUGUUUGAAUGGAACAACAAAAUUAUGGUUCACUUCUUAAGUUUUCGAUUAUACUUUAAUGGGGAUCUCCAAGUCUAGCAAGUAUCAUAUGUAUCGUGACCCUCUUGGAAGUAUGAGAAGCAACUUGAGUGAAAAGUCAUCAUCUCUUCUUCACUUCAAAAGCUAUUUACUUCAUUGAUAUCGGUGUGUAGAGCUUUAGAUACUUCAUUUCUUAUCAUGUUUUGUAAAUUAAGUGUACAAAAAGGCCUAUGUUGAAUACGAAAGUCUGAAAUUUACGUCAACUCAAAUAAUAUAAAAGACUCAUAAAAAAAUAAUAUAAAAGAGAAUAUGCACAAAUAUGAAUUAAAUGAUUAGGAACGUCAUGUGCAAUGUGUUUUCAAUUAUACACUUGAAUUGAAAGAAUGUUUGUACCUAUAAGUAAAGAAGUGAGUUCAUGCUCCUAGGAGGUUUUAUAAGCUAAGCUGGUUGUCAGAGCAGCAAAAGUAGGCAAUAUUAUAUAGCUAUAAUACACUAGGUGUCAACGUAAUCAUUCCUUGUUGUCGUGUUUAAUGCAAUUUCUCUCCAUUUAAUACCUUCAGCUUUUCAAAUCACAUCUUCUAAUGCUAAAUGAGCUAAUAGUGAAUCCUCCUCUAUUGUGCUGCAAAAAAUUGUAUUUUGGUGAAGAACAUGUUGGCGGAGACUGUCAACAUGAAAUAAAAAGCCUGACAAAAGAUGAUCAUGAAAGGGGAAAAAAAGUACUACUGAAUUACCAUUCAAAUAUUAAGAGUUGUUAGCUUAGAAUUUAUUAACGCAAAACCAAAAGAAUAAAAUUUAUGUAAAAUGUUAAAAGCCAAUUAUUUAAGGGGAGAGAUAAAAGUGGCUUGGGUGGAGGAUAAUGAUUUGAUAAUUUUUAAGGAAAAAGUAGUACGGAGAAAUCUAGUUUAAGGAAAUUAUUUUGAAAACGAUUUAUUUUAGAGUUACCUUUCUAGACGAAUAAAAAAGAAAAAGCCUCCUGCAGACUUUGUAUAACAAAAUCUUGUAUAAUCCCCCGAUUUAUAUGCUCUUGUCUGACUCAUGUAAAUUAGCAGUUUAUAAGAGAAUGAAAGCAAGUCAAGUCAAGUUUAGCCAGUAUUGGAUCUCUCAAAUUUCAAUGAAAGCGCGUAGAUAGGUUCGAAGCCCCUUCCUUAAAUGGUAUUGAUUAGGGAUGAGCGGUUCCCGGUUCCGGUUCGGUUCCGUCCGGAACCUGGAACCUACCCUCGGGUACAGGUUCCUCAAUUUUUGGAACCUGGAACCUACCCUGUCACAGGUUCCGGGGUCGGUUCCAGGUUCCACAGGUUCCUUUUGUUUUUUUUUUUUUUUCAUUUUCGUAUUGGGCGCGAAUAUCCAGAAGUGGAAAUAAUUCAAUAGUUGGCCCUCCAUUUUCAAUACCUGCCAAUAAAGAGGAGCAAUUCCAGAACACGCCAUAAACAACUAAACUAAAUUCAUAGUGGAGGUGCAACGUGCACAGGAGCAAUUCCAGAACACGCCAUAAACAACUAAAUUCAUAGUGGGGGUGCGAUAUGCACAGGAGCAAUUCCAGAACACUCCAUGACAUAGACAUCCAGCACUCCAUUCACAAACGAGGUAACACAAAGAUCAAAUUCUCUAUGCCCUUGCACAAACCGACAUGAAUUGUACAUCCUAAUCGAAAUAAGCAAAAGCAAACGAUAGCUUGAUCUUCGCACGUGACGAACGCGUGCUCGACUCGGUCUGAUUCUCGAAAAUCACUCACUCACACGUACACAUGGAAACCCUAAACUACCGGCUGAGGAACAGAAAAACCGUCAAAGCCGCGAACAGGCAAAGGAGAGGAGGUCGAGGCGAAACCAACCUCCGAGACGAAGAAGAGCUCGCUGCUGCCGCCUCCUGCUUCUCCUCCUUCAGCUUCGCUGCCGAUCGUAGCCCGUAGCAGAGCAGCUUCGUUGGGGGCGGAGGCGAAGGGGUGUGGAGUUAAGGUUGAUUGGGCGGCUGGGCGAGUAGCGAGCUGCGUCGGGGGGCUGGCGAGCGAGUAGCCUCCACCUGGGGGACAAGCGGCGUCGAUGGCAAGCGGCUGAGCGGUGAGGCAAGCGAGGGGUGACGCAUCCAGCGGCGGUGUCGAGGGAGGUCCGGCGACGAAGACAAGAGUCUCACGGCACCAACGGCAGCACGGACGGCGCAGCGAAGACGGCGGCAGUCGCGGCUCAACCCACGGCCAAGGGGGGAAGAGCUCGGUUCUGGCGGUGGCGGUUCGGAGCAACGACGGCNNNNNNNNNNNNNNNNNNNNNNNNNNNNNNNNNNNNNNNNNNNNNNNNNNNNNNNNNNNNNNNNNNNNNNNNNNNNNNNNNNNNNNNNNNNNNNNNNNNNGACGGCUCACGGCGGCGAGGGGCGGCGCCGACGGCACGAUAGCUGUCGGGCUCAACGGCGAGACGGCUCGUCGGACGAGCGGUGGGUGUUGGUGUUUCAGUGGCCAAGAGAUGGUGGUGAUUAGGUCGUGCGACGGCGAUGCGGUGGUGGGUGAAGCGGCGAGGGGCGGCCAAGAAGAAGAAGAAGAAGAAGAAGAAGGGGAGAAGAAGGGGUGGGUUUCGGCCAAGCGAGGGGGAAAGAGGAGAGAGAAGAAAAGAAAAAGGUUGGGGGCAGGAAGUGAUGGGAGCAGGAAAAAGGGGGGAAAAGAAAGAGAGAGAGAGGGAAAAAGAAAGGAGAAGGGGGAAGAAACGUAGGGGAAAUAGUUUUUUUUUUUUUUUAAUUUUGGCCGGUUCCCAAGAAAAGGGAACUGGGAACCGAAACCGGCCUCGUAAGAACCGGGAACCGAACCGAACCUCCGGUUCCGGUUCUCCGGUUCUCGGUUCUAACCGAGAACCGUGCUCACCCCUAGUAUUGAUACAUGACAUGAUACGACUCGACGCGUCGAUACGUCAUUUUUCAAAAAUAGAGGAUUUCGAUACGUUGGGACACAUUAUUUAUUAAAUCAAUAUUUUUAUUUUUAAUUAAUUUAAUUCAAAUUCAUAAAUAAAUAAAUAAUAAAAAAAGCAUACAAUGAAUUUACACUAAUAAUAUUAAUAAAUCAAUUCAGGAAAUUCAAAAGAUAUAUUUAUAAUUAAUGUGUAUCCAUAUUUGGAAAUAUAUUUUUAACUUUAAUAAAAAUUAGUGAUGAAACUAAUGAUUAAUAAAAAAUUUAAUCAAUUUAUUUAAAUAAAUCCAUAAUUUUUUACUAUCAAAAUUUAUCAUUAUUCAAAAUUUAAAUUUUUUUUUUAUUUUUUGAAAUUAUUUUUUAAUCUCAUUUAUUUUUUUUUCGAUAAAAAAAAGUCUCCACUAGGUCCACCCCCACUGCCUUCUUUCCCUCAUCCAUUUCCCCUAUUUCACUUUUCUUUUCCUUCCCCCACUGACAGACAGGCUGUCAUGUCCCUUCCCCCCCAAAAUUAAAAGUCACCCAUCGAGUCCCCCUUUUUUUUAUAUAUUAUUUUUGAGUUUCUUCAUUAAAAACCCUAAAAACCCUAGCCAGUACCUUCCUUUUCUCCUCCUCCUCGCCGCUCGCCGCUCCCCGCACAACCCCCUUCCUCUCCUCUUCCUCUCGAUCUCUACUUGCUCUCGGUCCUCAUCACAAUCGUUUACCGCCUCGCCUUCGGCCCUUUCUCUUUCGCAACUACAGCCUCGUCGCCGAUCCAUCGCAGCAUCACAGUAGUGGCCCUCGCCUCAGUCUAUGUUCUUUCUCUGGGCCGUCUCUCGCCGUCGCAGUAACACGGUGUAAAUCGGUGGAGACCACAGCAGGAGCAUGUGAGUGUUGCUCGUCAGUUCUCUUUUCCACUUUCUCUUAUUAAUAUAAAAAGCAAGUCAAGUCACGAUGCUGCUGAGUAUUGCGUGUCUCCAAGUCAAUGAUGCUACUUCGACCAAAAAAAGAGAGAAAAAGUCAUGAUGCCGCGGAAAUGACGCGGGCAAUGAUUAUUCUUUCCGUGGCAUGCCUCACAGCGGUUCGAUUAGCAUGGAGAGUUUUGGACCGUUGGAUGGCAACAACUCAAGCAUUUUUCGAGCACGCAUAUUAAAGAAUUUCGUGUGUUGGUAAUCCUACUUCAAAGGCUGAAAAUCGGUGGAGAUGCCAGGGUUGUGUUGUUUGAGCACUCCUCAGGCAGUCAACCGACUCCUUGCUCUUUUCUGUUUCCUACUUUGAUUGCUCCAUUUUCUUCUGAGUAAUUUAUUUUCGUUUGAAUUAACUGAGUCAUGAAAGACAUUUGUGCGAUUCGCAGAUCUGGACCGUGAAGGCUGGCUUUCUUUUAAGGCUCCGCUUGAUCAAUCUCUUAUUUUAAAACAGAAUAAGAAUCUCGUUGGUUAAUCACUCCAUGAUGUACGUCCAAUCAAGAAAAAGGAAAAUGGUCUUUCCGUUCUUUUCCUUUCUCUCCAAUUCCUUUCUUUUCUUUUCACUUCAUUUCCCUCUCAACUUAAAUUGCCAAUCGAAUUGUAAAAGAGAAAAACCUACUCACUCAGAAGAUUCAAAUUCCGGGGUGUCUUCCUCAUUGACCGCUCCGCAUGGAAGAGAUCAUGAAGGGGGAGACGAACAGCCAAAAGGGAAUGCUUAUGAAGUGUUCUUGAACUUUAGAGGGAAAGACACUCGCAAAGGUUUCACCGAUUAUCUCUAUAAUAGCCUUGUCAAUGCAGGAAUUCACGUGUUCAAAGAUGACAAUGAGCUCCGUGUUGGUGAGGAGAUUGGUCCGGAGCUUCUCUACAGCAUCACGCAGUCCACGAUCUCAAUCCCGAUUAUCUCUGAGAACUACGUUUCCAGCAAAUGGUGCCUUCGUGAGUUGGUUCAGAUGUUAAAGUGCAAGAGGAGUAAAGGGCAAAAAGUGUUGCCCAUAUUUUACAAAGUGGAACCCCACCAAGUGCGACAUCUCACAGGGAGAUUGAGAAAAGCUAUUGAUGCACAUAAAAAGAAUACGGAGGAAAUGGUUGUGAAGGAAUGGGAAGAAGCACUCAAAGAAGUCAGCUCCUUGAAAGGAUGGGAAUCGGAGAAAAUUGAUAACGGGUACCUUAUUCUCCGACAAAAUGUUGUUAAAUUUUUCAUAAAUAGAUCUUUCUUGAAAAAGAAUAGACAUAUUGCAAUCCUAAAUUGAUAUUCAUUGUUAUUUGACAGGCUUGAAGGAACAUUGAUUAAAAUUAUUGUGAAAGAAGUUCUGGGCGAGUUAAACAGACUUUUUCAGCUAAAUAUUCCUGAACAGUUAGUGGGAAUCGAGGAUCACGUGCAACAGAUUAUGAGCAACAUAGAUGCUGAAUCCAAUGGUACAAAGAUUAUUGGAAUUUGUGGAAUGGGCGGCAUUGGUAAGACUACUCUUGCAAAGGUGUUAUACAACAGACUCUCUAGUCAUUUUGAUUGUCGUAGCUUCCUGGCAAAUAUCCGAGAAACAUCCGAGCGUAAGGGAAUUGAAUGCGUACAAAAGCAACUCAUUGAUGACAUAACAGGAAGUUCAUGUGAUGUGUCUAAUGUAGACAAAGGAGUUAGUGUCAUCAAAUCUCGAUUUAUGAGGAAGAAAGUCCUAGUUCUUUUGGAUGAUAUGGAUGAUAGGACUCACUUGAAUACUUUGGUCAAGGAUGGAAGUUGGUUUGAAGUGGGAAGUAUAAUCAUCAUCACAACUAGAAACAAAAGCAUUCUCGAUGAAGGUAGGGUGGACUACACGUACCAACUCAACGAGUUAUCUGUAGAUCAAUCAUUGAUUUUAUUUAGUAGACAUGCAUUUCAAAAGGAUUCUCCUCCGAGUGAUUAUGAAGAUAUCUCUCGCGAUGUCGUAUCUACUACUGGGGGGCUCCCAUUAGCUCUUGAAGUUGUAGGUUCAUUCUUAUGUAGAAAGGGAGAAAACGUAUGGAAAGAUACGUUGAAAAAAUUAGAAAAAAUACCCGAUAAGAAAGUGCAAGAGACAUUGAAGAUAAGUUAUGAAGCAUUAGAUCAUGAGGAAAAACAGAUAUUUUUGGAUAUUGCUUGCUUUUUUUUCUCUGGAUCAUCAAAAAAAGAUCUAACUUACGUAUGGGAUGCCUGUGGUUUAUUUCCGGAGAGGGGGAUUGAAGUGUUGAGUCUUAUGUCCCUGAUUAAAAUUGACGGAGAUGGUAAACUAAUGAUGCAUGAUCAAUUGAGAGAUCUUGGAAGGGAAAUUGUUCGUCUGGAAAAUCCAAAUGAGCCUCAAGAGCGUAGUAGACUGUGGAACCAUCAGGAAGCCCUAGAUGUGCUUGAUAACAAUGAGGUAAGAGUUUUCUUUACUUGUCUUAGUUGAUGAAUGUGGGUGCAUCUUCCCUUUCUUGUUUGAAAUAAAAAUAACUGUCACUCUGAGUCCCCAAAACUUGUUGCAUCUAAUAGCAAAGGAGCUCUUUUGAUUAAUUCGCAGUAUUUGCCUAAUUCAAGAUCAUAAUUGAGAAGCAAUUUCUUGGUUAUGGACGAUUGAUAUAUAUCUUUACAUGGUAGUAUUGUGAUGAGAAUACUCUCCUUUUGGUAACUUCAAUGCAAAAACAAGACUACAAAAGCAGAGCAGAAUGUUUGACAGGGUACUCUUAGAUAAAACUUGACAUUUAUAGAUUGUUUCGGCCAUGCUUUCCUCGAUAUUUAUUUGAUGCAUGUGUUUUAUGUUUGAAUUAGUCUUUUCGUCUUUUGGGAGGUUUGUUUCUUUUUCUUUUUCUUUUACUAAGUAUUGACUUCAUAUGAGUUCUGGUAUCACAAAGGAGACCAUCCAUUUGUGACGAUUUAGCUAUCUUGGUUCCUGUAUUUUUUUUUUUUUUUUUUGGUCGGUGGUUCCUGUAUUUGUUUAAGUUGGGUUAAGUGCAUCCCUUAGGUAUUAUUGGUUGUGCAAUUUAGUCCCUCAUCUAUUUUUGUUUUUGCUGAAUAUAGUCCUCUUUCACUUUUUUGUGCAAUUGAGUCAUUUGUGGUCAAUCACUGGUUGACACCGCCAAUUUGUUGAUGCGGGUCUGUAUUUAGUUAUGAUACAUGAGCAACCAUGCAAUAUAACCCUUUAAACAUACAUUAUUUGUGCUGUAUAGACUUUUCAUAAUAGUUGAUAGCUUCUUUUUAUAUGUGGCAGAGUUGGUAGAUGCAUUUGAAUGGUUAGAGUUGUAUUGGUUCGCAUAUACAUGAUGGGAGUAAAGGAAGUGUUAUUUCACAUAUGAAGGGCAUUAAUUUUGAUAAAUAUAUUUUAGUAUAUGCAUGAAGAGAGACCUUCCACUGUAAUUGCAAAUGGACCCAAAUUUUGGAAAUUCAUAAGGUCCAAAUUGCGAAAGGUAUAGUUGGAUAAGGAAAAAGUUUG
This 80352-nucleotide long non-coding RNA is filed under the name Eucalyptus grandis. RNAcentral's name for it is "long non-coding RNA (EGRA_LNC001396)". The record is from RNAcentral. Lineage: Eukaryota; Viridiplantae; Streptophyta; Magnoliopsida; Myrtales; Myrtaceae.